This 78078-nucleotide long non-coding RNA is filed under the name Vitis vinifera (wine grape). Its description in RNAcentral is "long non-coding RNA (VVIN_LNC006449)". Lineage: Eukaryota; Viridiplantae; Streptophyta; Magnoliopsida; Vitales; Vitaceae. The record is from RNAcentral.
CUGGCAUAAAGACAUCAAAGCCAUAUACUGGCCUUACUGCUUCAUUUAGAUACCCAUGAGGAUUGGGGACAUGGACUAUUUCCCAAAAAGCAGAGUAUAUAUCCUUACCUUGUAGACACAUCCAAAACUACCCUCUCCAUGCUUAAUGUUGAUUGAAAAUUUAUUGGUGGCAUUCAAUAAUGUGGCCAGUCAAAUAAUAGUAACUCUAGAUGCUCCUGGCUUUCAUUAGUUUCACCUCCUGAAUCGUGUUCCAUAUUUCCUGCAAAAGGGGGAAUGGGAUGAAGAAUUAUACCAUACAUCAAUUGUAUACACACAAAACCUGAACUUGACCCAUUUCCAAGCCUCAAUCAAUUCAUCCUUUAUCAAAUCAAGUCAGGACAUUCCCUUGCUCCCUGUUGAACAAGACAUAGUCAGACAUCAUGUGGAACUUUUUACUAAUACAUAUAGUGAUACAAGUACUAUGACUAGUUACCUUUUCUCUUUAGCUGCUUCUCCCUCUUCUUCAGCAUGUACAAGGUCAUGAAUAGGCUUACAUGAAUUAUUCUGGUAAUUGAUAUAGAGAUGAAAAUGAUCUGCUUUGGUUUCUUCUUGGAGCUGCUAUUUGUGCUUGAAAAGCAUCUUGUUGACCCAGAUGGAAAGAAACUAAACAGGAAAGCCAGGAAAUUAAAUAGAAAAACAAUAAAUUCCAAUAAAUUCACAUCAGCUAUGUUUGAGAAAGAGGUAAGCCUUUAAGUUGCAGAAUCAAGGGAUAAAAACCAGAGGCACAUAUGCAAGGUGAACAACUGAUUAAAAACUUUUGAAUAAGUAUACCAGUUGUCCUCCAGGAAAUUUGUAUCAGAAUUAUGUCAGGUAAGAAAAAAAUAAGUUCAUACCUAAUUCUGAUGAAGACAUCCUUACAUAAAAGUCUAGUCCAUUUUCAGCAAACUCUCUGAUAUCAAUCAAGUCAUUGAACCAGAGCAAGCAUACACUUCCCCCUCCUCUGAUAUCUGAAUCUGCAUAAGCAGUGCACAGCAGUUCCUCAAGCACAGGAAUGCACAUUCCUUAAGGUUCAUCCUUUCAUUAAACCAGGAGUUCUGUGUGUCUGGCAGUUUCACACCAGAGUACUUUACAAAUCCAUCACCCUUCUGAAAUCCAGUGGAGUACUUCAAACGCAUUCAUUUGACCAAUCUACCAUGUCCCAAUUGCUUUAGAACUUUGGCCUAAAUCCUUUCAUACAGUCACAUUUUGGAGAUUGGUAAAUCUUACAGAUGCCAUUCGCGCCAUAGAAUGCAUAAUUGUCAGACAUCCUUCUGUGCAGAUGAGUAAAGAGUCCUAUUAUUUAUGUAACCACAAUGUGUCACCAUUAGGAGUUAUCAAGAGCCUCAUAAUUACAGAGCUGUAAACAAUAUUAUAAAUACAAUACAUCUCCUUUCCAUUAAAAACAAAAUCAUAUGCAUAAACCGGGAUUGCUGUCAAUUGAGGUAACCCACUAAAUUAAAUACCAUUCCAUGGUCCAGCACAAAACUUUAAAGCUAAACCAUUGCUGAUAAGUAGUUGCAGAAAUCAACAAGGAUCAAUCCUAUAAAUAAAAUAACCUUUGAAUGAUCACCAACACUCUUCCAUGGUGACAGGAACCAAUCCAGGCCUGUUAUUCUGUUCCAAGCUUCAUGCCUGGUAUAAGAGUAUCACAUGGAUAAUCAAAACUCUGCCACAGGAAGUUUUCUAGGUCACUGUCAUUACCAUUUUUCAUAACAAGAUUUCCAGCUCCAAAAGCUGAGCAUUUGCAUCCUGUGCAGACCAUGAUGAAUUAGAAGACCAAAGAAUUUCUAUUAGUACCAUAAAGAACAACAAGAAUUCCCUCAUGAGUGACCUUUAAAAUUCCUGAUGAAUCAGUUAGUGGACUUUCUCUAUUGGCAAUCCAUACCACAGUCCCAUUACACACUUUCUUGUACCAUAUCCAAAGUAUUGAUUUUUGGAGUUACCUGGGCUGAAGACACCCAGUUCAAAGCUCCCACCCGCUGAAUUGAUGGUCUCACCAUCUCUAAUGAGUUGAUUUAUACUUAUGGUGUUUUCUGCAAUGGAGAUUAUCAAGAGGAAGAAUACAUAAGAAAAGAUAAAUACAACUGUUGUAAGAGCAUCCAUAGUGUUCCUAGAUAAAAAUUGCCUGAAAUUUAGGUGCUUUCCAAGUCUCCUUAUAUUUUAGGGCAUAGUGUCCUUCAUACGUCAUAGUCAAUGUAGUGUUCUAUUGGUAGGCCAUAGCUCCAGAAAUCUAUCAAUAUGAACAUUCAAUUCUUUUCUUUGAAUAUAUAUCUAUGUUAUUAGGUGGUAUGGUCCCCCUGAAUUGAAUAUUUUUUUGAUUUGUAUGACUUAAGAGUUAAGAGAACAUCAAUAUCCAUCAUCAUACAGAAUGAUCCAGUGGUCAUCAUCAUCUCCUAUAUCAAAAUUUGAUUUUCUGUGCUUCUUAAAAUGGAAUUGGGAUUAGUUUAUCCCUUGAAUGCACUUAUUGAGUUUUCACAUGAACAAUCUCACAUCUGUUUUAGAAGAAUUACAGGGUGAAGUAAAGACCAAGAACAGAAUGACUAUUGCAGCAAAUUCUCUUUCCUUGCCAAGGUAUCCAGGAUAAAAAUGACAGAUAAAAAUGCAUACAGGGAAAGUUUAAAUGCUAUAUCUUCUAUUAUUAAAUUUUAAUUAAUACUGAUGAAUGGCUUCCAUAAUACAAAUAAGAGACAUGGGCAAAGACUAACCACAGACUGCAUAAUCAGCUAAAACUGGCCCUUGCUUUUCAGGGCAAGAAUUUGGUCCCAAGACAUUCCUCUGAGAAAAAAGACCAGGCUAUCUAGGCUAAGAUUCGAGAAAUCAGAACCAUGGAAGACAUGCUUUGCCUUCAUCUGGCUAUCACAGUACACAUAAUCAAGGUUGAGAUUCGAGAAAAUCUAAAAUAUCACCAUAAAAGAAAAAAUUUGGCCUUGGAUUAUGCACACUUUUUGUGAAUCCACCUAGCAUUUGUAUCUAGCAUUUAUUCAUCUUUCUGAUCAGAAAUGGUAGGUGAGAGGAAAACACUGGUUGCCCACCAUCUAUAUAACCUUGUCUACUAGUUCAUAGAUUGUCAUUAAAUUUGAAUAGUUCUGUAAGUAUCAACAUUGUGUUUUCUAUCCUUAUAUGAAUAUCUUUUUAGUUUCUAAAUAAUUUUUUUUCUUUCUUAUGUAGAGAUUAUCAGGUUCCAACAAAAAUCAAUAGGGUGUAAGAUGGAGCUACCAAGUAAGUUCAAUAACCACAAGAAAUCACUUCAACAAGGAAUCUCACUUUUAGGAAAUGGUGAUUUGAUUUCAAACAGCAAGCUUAUUGCACUGGUGGUGGAUAGCAAUAGAAUUUGGCAAAUAUUUGAGAAAGCAAAUUUAGAAUCUCAAGAUGUUGAGACCCAAGUGAUGGGAAGUGGGAGACAUGUUGUGGAUCUCUUGGCCUCUAGGGCAAACUUCAAUAUCAUCAUCAUGGCUAUGGUACUCCCAAUCAAGAAUGGAGUUGAAGUGAGCUUAUCAUUUUUGUAUUGUGAGUGCAAAGUGUGCUAAGAGUGCAACGUGUACUCCACAUGUAAUGUGUGGUACUUGUUCACCUUUCUUAUUAUGCUUAUUAAUUUGCCAACAAUAUAAUUUAGAAACAACAAAAAGAAUCUACCAAACUCAUGAGAUGCAUCCUAAUUAUGAUUUCUGUAAUACACAAUCAUGCUUUAGAAACAACAAAAAGAAUCUACCAAAGUCAUGAGAUGCAUACUAAUUAUGCUUUCUGUUAUACACAAUUAUGCUAACAUGCAACAUGUACUACUCAUGUGAUGCAUAGAAUUUUUCACCUUUCUUACUAUGCUAAUUAAUUUGCCAAUAUAAUUUAAAAACAAUGAACAGAAUCUACCAAAGUCAUGCUAAAUGAUGCUUACUAAAUUACUAAUUAUACUUUCUGCUAUACACAAGGAUCAAACCAUCAUUCAACCUUUUAUAUGAUUACAUUAUUUGCUAGACUCCUAAGUAUUUUUCCAAUUUAUUUAUACUAAACUUUUUGUGUAUUUUAGAAAUAUAUGUUGUUUUCCCUUUUUAAAAUACUAUUGUUAUUAUAUUUUUUGUUAUUGUACUCAUGUAUUUUGUAUUUUGUGUUAUUCUACUAUCAUAGACCACUAGUCAGAUUUAAGCAAUAGGCAUUCAUGGCAAAAUGUUGGGUGUUACUGCUUGCUCAUAUGAAAGGGAGAGGCAAGCAUUUUUGGAUGCUGUGUGGAUGAGUUUAUUGGGAAACUGCUUACAGAAGUUGGCCUCUGUUCUGAGAGAGGUCCAAGAUGCCUAAAAGAGAGUUGAUCCCAAUGGAGGGCUCUAUUAACUUGCUAAAUAGACCCAAGAGAGGACUCUGUCAAUAUGUCAACUUGAUUGAAUGCAGAAAUUCAGAUAGAUUGCAGGUGAUCCCACUGAUGCAUCAAUAAGUUGCGAAGACCUACCUUCCUAGACAAUUCAAAGCAAGAUCAGCAACAGUUUUACGACUAUUCAAAGAUAAGUGAUUGUUUAUAGAUACCAGACGAACCAAUUAGCUAAAUAAUGUAUUUAAGUGCAGUAUUAACCCCAAAAAAGUGCAGAUAAAAGUCCAAAUUUAUUUUCUCUUCCCAUAUAAUUCUGUGAUCCAAAUGAAUUGUUCAAUACAAUCCCAAUAUAUCGAUAUUAGCCUAUCAAGAUUAGCAAAAUUUCCUUUUCAGACUUAAAAGAAUUGCUGUACACUAUGGUCCUCAAGAUACCAAAUCAAUUGGAAGAGGGUGGAGCACGUGUGGGGCUAGGGAGGGCCAUGGGGUCGGGCUUUGGAAGGAAAUCAGCAAGGAAGGUUUGCUACUGCUCAAUAAUGUAUCUUUCUCGGUGGGGGAUGGUAAAAUGGCGAGGUUUUGGAAAGACAUUUGGUGCGGGAGCACCCCCCUUUGUGAGGCUUUUCCCUCUUUGUUUGAUUUAGCGGGUUCUAAAGAUGCGUGGGUUGCGGACUAUUGGGAUCCAAUGGGGGAAGUGGGAGGGUGGACUCCUCUUUUCCUUAGACCUUUCAACGAUUGGGAAGUGGAGGAGGCGGAGAGACUCCUAUCGUCCAUUCAAGGGAAGAGGUUGGAUGCUGAUGGGGAGGAUAGGAUGCUGUGGAGAGGGACGAAAAAUGAGAUUUUUACUGUAAAAUCUCUUUACAAGUCUCUUGAUCAUAGCUAUGCAGUAUCGUUUCCGGGUAAUAUUAUUUGGAGUCCAUAUGUUCCUUCAAAGGUGAGCUUCUUUGCUUGGGAAGCUUCUUGGGAGAAGGUCUUUACUCAAGAUCAGCUUAAGAGGAGGGGUUGGAUUCUAGCCAAUAGAUGUUGCUUGUGUUGCGUUGAAGAGGAAACGAUAAAUCAUAUUCUUGUUCAUUGUUUUAAGACGAAGAUUUUGUGGGAUCUUUUGCUUUCUCUUUUUGGGGCCAAUUGGGUGAUGCCGUUUUCGGUGAGAGACACUCUAUUAAGUUGGUAUGUCUCUUUUAAGGACAAGAAUCAUAGAAAGGUUUGGCGGGCAGCUCUUCUCUGUUUAUUUUGGACAAUUUGGAAGGAAAGAAAUAGGAUAGUCUUCGAUAACGGGGCUUUGUCGUCUCAAAGAUUGAAAAACUCUUUUGUUUGUAAUCUCUUAUCUUGGGCUAAUUCUUCUAUAGUUGUAGGCCCUUUAUCUUUGUUUAACUUUGUGGAUUGGUUGGGUUCUUGUUGAGGGUCGGUGAGUACUUGUGUUUUUGUUGCUUGUUUUAGGUGUCUCUUGUAUACUCCCUGUAUGCUCUGGGUUGCCUUUCAAGCUCCCUUUCUCUAAUAUAUCUUUGUGUUUUUGCCUAUCAAAAAAAAAAAAAAAAAUUGGAACAAAAUCCUUUAGUAAUACACUUGUCUAUUCCAAAUCUCUGGCAUGACAUGGUCACUUAUUUUGUUAAUCAACACAAGCCAUCAGUAAUAUUAAUACCAGAAACAUAACUUCCUAGGCUGCCAGAAAUUUUUUCUUUCGAUAAGUAAACACCAAUAUAUUAGCAAAGGCAAAACGCCGCGAAGCAUACAGGGAGUAUACGGGGCGACAAGUGCCACAAAACAAAGGACCAAAAAACAACAAAAAACCCACCAACCCUCAACUGGAGGCUAUCCACUCCAGGAAACCUAUAAGGGACCAGGACUCCACACCAUUAUACAAUUUUGCCCACCCCCACAAAUUACAGACAAAAGAAUACUUAAUUUUCUGUAUAGCUAACUCCCCCCCCCCCCCCCCCUAAAUGCUAAUCUAUUCUUUUCUUUCCACACCGUCCAAAAAAUAAACAACGGUAUGGAUCUCCAUAUUCUCUUCCUCUUUUUGCCCACAAAGGAACCCUUCCAGUUGAUAAUCACCUCCUUUACAGUUUCUGAAAAAGACCCACUGGGCUCCAAACAGGCUAAGAACCAUCCCCCACAACACACUAGCCACUGUACAAUGUAUAAGAAGAUGAUUAGCAUUUUCCUCAUCACUACCACAUAAGUAACACCGGUUAGGGAUUUGCCAUCCUCUCUUUUGAAGCCUAUCAAUAGUAAGGAUCCUCCCCCAAGUAGCUUCCCACGCAAAAAACGCUAACUUGGAAGGCACAUUCUCCACCCAAAUCAGAAAAUUUGAGAAGGCUAUAAGGAGCUGAAGCACCCCCAAAGUAUCUUUUCUUUUUUUCAGAGAUGAUUUAAAAUAAUAUUAGGAGAAGCCUAACCCCUUAAGAAUAUCAGGAAACACCAAAAGAAGAGUCAAGAUUUGCAGGAUAUUACAACAUACAAAUAACUGGAAUAUCUGAAAAAAGAAUAUAUCUAUUCAAUUGUGUAUUGGGAAAUUUUAUGUUGUGCAGCUUCUAUUAUUGAACUUAAACAAAGAAAAUUGGCUUUCGUUCCAUGUACAAGUGGGACUGGUAAAGACUGGCCAAACUACAUAACCUGGCUGAAUAAACUUGGAGAAGCUAGUGACAUGAAUGAUAGGUCAUUGGGAAGACUGCUAUUAAUUGCAUCACCCAUCUUUGAUCAGUACUGAACUACCAUCACUGCUUUCAUGAAUAAUCAACCACCUCAACAAGACAGAAAAAGUCAACAUGAAAUGCCUUCUAUCGACCCUCUAAUAUUGUAAUGGUGUGUUCAUUGCCAGAAAAAACUGCAUGCUUGCAUUGUAAAGAAUCUGCUUCCAGCAUAUUCCUUUCAGUGAAAAAACCAGGCUCUUUAGGUUGACGUAAUGCACCCUCACUACUCAACAUCAGAACCACAGAAGACAUGUUUGGUCGAUCAUCUGGAUGACGUUGCACACAUAAUAGUCCCACAUUGAGUGCACGUAGCACUUCAGAUUGAUUGUACGUGUCACCCACAGAUGCAUCAAUCAGUUCCAAAGGUGUACGUUCCAUAUAGAGUGUCCAUGCCUACACCAUUCAAAGCAAGAUCAGCAGUAAUUUUAUUGCAAUCAAAUAGAGAGAUACCACUCGAUACUUACAUGCCCAAGAAGAUUAAGGUCAUGGUCUGGGUGGUUAAAUCCUCUGUUUCUCUUCCCACUAAUAAUCUCUAGCAGCAAAACCCCAAAGCUAAAAACAUCUGAUUUUACUGAGUACACUCCAUCAAUGGCAUAUUCUGGAGACAUGUAACCACUGUAGGAGACCAUUGAAGAAAGAUAUGAAGUUACAAGCAAUAGAAAUAAACUGGUGACAACAUUUCUACAUGUACUUACUAUGUUCCAACUACUCGUUUUGUUCUUGCUUGAGUUUCAUUUCCUCCAAAACUUCUAGCCAUGCCAAAGUCUGAAAUUCGUGGGUUCAUCUCAUUAUCAAGUAAAACAUUAUCUGCUUUAAGAUCCCUGUGGAUUAUUCUGAGCCUUGAGUCCUGAUGAAGAUAAAGAAGCCCACGAGCAAUACCAUUGAUAAUGACAAAGCGCUUAGGCCAAUCUAGUACCAUGCUUUGUAUUCCAUCUGUCAAUUUUUUUUUUUAUUCAGUCAGGAUAAUCCAUUCUACUUAUUGAAUUCUUGAAAAGUUGAAAAUAAUUCUACAAACAAAUGAAUUUCAAAUUUUUCAUUGGAGUGACUCAUGCCCAUUCUCAAGGACAAGAAAAAUUUGUCGGAGGAGCAUUAAAAGGAUAGUGAUUUUUCACAUUAGGGGUUCAAAACCCCCAUGGUUUAUAGAAGACCCAAAUGGACUAGAGAAAAAUGAAAGCAAGAAUUCCCUAGAUGGUUCAUUAUCUUGGAAGCAUUUGGUCAACAAUCAAUCUCUAAUAUAAUGAAGGACUAUGUCUCAAGAAAUAAAACACAAAGAUAGAUCACUAAAGCAUUCUGAGACUAUUUAUAUUGGGGUUUUAGAGAGAAACCAAAAAUGAAGAAAUUCAAGCUUUUGUUGGGCAUGUAUUCGUAGAUCAACAUCUUUUCUUCCCCAUGAAUGCAGCAUCCUAGAAGCUUCACAAGAUUUCGGUGCUGAAGUUUGGAAAUGUAUAUAACUUCAUUUUUAAACUCAUCAAGUCCUUGAUUAGAUUCCUUUGACAGCCUCUUCACAGCUAUCUCUUUUCCAUCUUGCAACAUACCCUGGAAUAAUCACUAGACAAGAUUUUUAGAAUUUUGACCAUGGUAGGCAUUUCUGUAUGAUUGAAUUGAUCUGUGAACAAAGAAGGGUACUCUCAAAUAAACACAUUAUUCAUGUUUCUUUCCUGGUUAGUUUGUGAUAUGAAUUACAGAAGGCAUAUCUGUAAAAGAUUUUGCACCUUCUAUAAAACUUCACAUUGAAACUUUUUACAGGGUCAUUCCAAGUCUUUUUUUGCUAAAAGAAUGGGGACUAAUUUUUGUACUUUUAAAAGCAUAUUUGCACUUUCAAACUUUCAAAUCCAAAGAAAGGAGUUUCAGAAAGUUCUGGCUCUAAUACUUGCAUCAAGGUGAUGACAUAUUGACCUUGAUUCCUAGAACUCCACAUUAUAAAGAUUAGGGACAUUGACUAUCUUUAGAAUUGCAGAGCAGUGUAUCGAUGUCAAUAUAAAGGAAGAGCAUAUUCUUACCUUGUAGACAGGUCCAAAACCACCCUCUCCAAGCUUAUUGUUUCUUGAAAAGUUAUGGGUAGCAUUCAAAAUUGUAUCCAAAUCAAAUAAUGGUAACUCUAGAUCCUCUUGUCUUUCAUUGGUUUCAGCUCCUUCAUUAUUGAGUUCUGUUGUCCCUACAAAAUCAAAGAAUCGAAAGAGUACAAAUUAAGUAAUAUAUAAGUAGUCAAAGUGUUCGAUCCUAAGUAGAGAUUGCCAUGGAUGAGGCUGAAGUCAUUUUGGGGCCAGUCAGGUACAAAAAAAAACCUGAACUUGAUCCAUUACCAGGCCUAGAUCAAUUCAUCAAAAUCAUGUAAUCAAGUGAGGACAUUCUCUUGCUCUCUUGAAACUUUUAGUAACACAAGGAAUAUAAAUUUUUACCUUUUCUCUUUAGCCUCUUCUUCAGAAGAUACAAGGUCACAACUAGGCUUAAGAGAAUCAUUCCCGCGAUUGACACAGUGCUGACAAUGACCCACCUUCUCUUCGUCACUUUUGAAAUGGCAUCUUGACCCAGAAGCAAAGCAAUCAUGCAGGGAAACCAAGAAUUAUAAUAGGAAAAGUAUACAUUCCAAUAUGGAGGAAGUUCUGACCCUAAAUAUUUUUGUAGUUUACAACAAUGAAUUCAAGGAACUGCAGUUGCUUGAAGUUUUGCAUGGAAUAGUGAACAAUUAGUGAAAAAAAAGAAAAAAUUGUCAUAAACAUGGCAAUACAUAGCAAUGUUUCUCCUUGAAGUCUUGUACCAAAUUGAUAUUUCUCAGGUAAGGAAUAGAUAAAACUCAUACCUAAUUCUGAUGCAGCCAUCCUUAUGUAGAAAUCUUGCCCAUUUUCAGUGAACUCCUUGACAUCAAUCAAAUCACCAAACCAGAGCAAGCAUCCACUUCCUCCUCCUUUGAUAUCUGAAUUUGUAUAAGCAGAGCAAGAGCAGUUCCUCAAGCACAGGGAUGCACAUUCCUUGAGGUUCAUGCUUUCAUUAAACCAGGAGUUUCUAGUGUCUGGAAGUUUGACACCAGAGCACUUUACAAACCCAUCACCUUUCUGACAAUCCAGUGAAGUUUUUCGUACACACCCAUUUGACCAAUCCAUCGUGUCCCAUUGGUAUGGGAACUUUGGUACAAAUCCUUUCAUACAUCCACAUCUUGGAGAUCGGUGUAUGUUACAGGUGCUGUACGCUCCGCAUAAUGCGUAGCUGUCACAGUCAUCCUUAUAUGCGGUUGAGUAGACAUUCCAACUCUUGGUUCGACCAAUCCAUAUCAAACGCUGUACGUUUCCAUUAGGAUUUAACACCAGCCUGGAAAGAACUGAGCUAUUAACAAGCUUAUAGGUAAAGUACAUCUCCUUCUCAUUGAAAACAAAAGAAUAAUUAAAAACUGGGUUUGGCCUCAAUUCAGGAAACCCAUUAAAUCGAAUACCAUUCCAUGGCCCAGACCGGAAAAUCACAGUUGAGCCGCUCCUCAGAAAUAGUUGUGGACAUCCACUAGGAUCAAGCCCAUAUGUAAAAUCACCUUUAGAAGGGUCGUCGUUGCUCUUCCAUGAUGAUAGGUACCGAUCCAGGCCUGUCACCGUGUUCCUUCCAUGCUUCAUGCCUGGUAAAAGAGUAUCGCCUGGGUAAUCAAAGCUCUGCCAUAGGAAAUUAUCUGGAUCACUAUCAUUUCCACUUUUUAUGACAAGAUUCCCAGAAUCCAAAAGUUGGGCAGUUGGAUUCCUUGCCGACCGCGAUGAAUUAGAAGACCAGAUGAGUCCAUUGGACCCAUUAAGAAUCACAAGACUUCCCUGGUCGGUGACCUUUAAAACUCCGGAUGAAUCAGUGACUGGGAGUUCUCUGUUGGCAACCCAUACCACUGUCCUAGGAGUCACUUUCUUGUACCAUAUCCCCAAGUAUUGAUUCUUUGAAGUACCCAGGUGGACAAAACCUAAUUCGAAGUUCCCACCAGCUGAAAUGAUGGUCUCCCCAUCUUUAAUAUGUUGAUUUGCAGUAAUGCUGUCAACUGCCGUGGAGAUUCUUAGGAUGGAGAUUACAUAGGAGAAAAGAAAUACAAGUUCUGUAAAUAAAUUCAUGAUUUCAUCAGGAAAUGGGUGGCUGACGCCUCAUUUGCUUCCCAAGUUUCCCAAGCCUCUUUCCUCUUCUCCUUCUUUCCCUGUGUUAUCGAUCUUUGAUGAGAAAAUAAAAAAUAAAAUAGAAUAAAAGUAUCAAAAAGCUGAGAGCGAAGAGGGGGAUUAGGGGUUUUGUAGUGGAUGAUCCCCUCUUAAGAAUUUAUUUUAAGGGAAUGAACAAAAAGGCCAAAUAAAAUAAUGUAGGUCAUCGAUGAAUGUUGACUCCUUGGCUUAAGGCCCCACCAAAAAUUCAAUGGGCAAUAAGAGUUUUGUAAGUAUGAUAUAGAAAGUAGUCAACUUUAAAUUUUUAUGCUUCUUUAAAUUGAGUCAUCUGAGAUAAUCUAAUAAAUGCCACAAUGGCAUCCUCAAAUACCUCAAUUCCACUAUUUAAGGAAGACCAAUCUUUCCUCUUCUGUAGGAGAAUUUAAAUAAGAGGUGAAGACAGUAUUCCAAAGAAGGUUUUUCCCUUGCGGAAAUUUGGAGGAAUUUCUGUUCAUACUUCCAACUCACAAAUGAGUGGUGGCUCUGAAUAUAGUACAGAUAAAAUUUCAUUGUGGAAAUCCACUAGCAAGCUCUGCAGUUAUAUUAAUGUAUAUGGUCCAUUCUUUUCCUCAUAAAUUAUGUAAGAGAAGGUGUUGGAGCAACAAUAUUGUCCGGCUACCUCAUCACCUUUCAUCAUUGGGUGCACGACUUGAAUUGGGCUAGAUGUCUCAAUUUUGGUUUUGUUUGGCACUACACUGUAAUGAGAAGGCGAGAGGUAGAGAAUAAAAGGAGAAGUGAGGGACCCAUGGCACUCAUCAAGGAAGAUAGUUAAAUACUAGUUAAACAAUCAAAGCUGAAAGAAAAAAAGGAAUGACAAAAGGGAUAGCCAAUGAAGAGGAAGUAGGGCGAGUAGGAAAGCUGGAUAAAAGAAGGCUUCUAGGGCUUGAAAAAAGAAUCACUGAUUCAAGGGGUUCUCUAAUGGCUCUUCUCUCCCCUUGUUUUCAACCAUCGUGUGUGUGUGUGUGGUGAGAAGAGAUUAUUUUUUUUUUUCUUUAUAAAAAAAUUUCUGAAGUUAUUAAGAGAUUGUAUCCGUGGGCACUAGGAUUGAGUUGUUGGAGUUGCAUUGAUUCAAUUCUGUAUAAGGUAUACUUCCCCUCUCUAUAUUCAUUCCUUUCCUUCAUUGUCAUUUCUGCAAAUAAUAGUUUUGUAAAUACAAUGGUAUAUUGCGGAUGAGAUUUGCAUAAGUUGAAUUAGUAAACUAAUUUAAUUUGAUGAUUCGGCUUAUGAUGUAUUUAUUCUUUUCUUUGUUUUGUAGAUAUCAUGUACUAACUUUUUCUUUCAUUUAUUACUUAUUCUUUUGUUUGAAUUUAUUUAUCCUACGGUCUAUUGGAUUUCAUGUUUCAGCAUUAGCAUUUUUUUUUUCAAUAAACUUAAAACUAUUUUUAAAAAAUUACUUGAAACCAUUUUAUUAAAUAAAAUGUGAAAAAAUGUUAUUUUAAUUUAGAUAAUCACCUAAGAAAGGGAUGGGAAAGUGAAUUUUGCUAGGAUAAUUCGGAUUUCUCUAUUUCCUAACCUCGGGUCAUGUAGGGGUAAUGUUAUUUUAAUUUAGAUAAUCACCUAAGAAAGGAAGGGGAAUGUGAAUUGUGCUAGGAUAAUUCAGAUUUCUCUAUUCCCUAACCUCGGAUCAUGUAGGGGUGAUGCAUCUAUCCUAGACUUUUUAUAGAUCUAACACAACAAAAAUAAAUAACAUUAAAAUCCAUUAUUCAUGUAGAUUUAGAGUUAGAAUCGAAACUAUGAUUUAGAUUUUCCUAGAUCAAUUUUUGUUUCAUAAACACUUUGAAAUCGUAGUGGUCACCGUAGAACUCGUCUACCCAACAAUCUUUUACCUGAUCUUUCCCUUUAUGGGUCUUGGCGGGAGAAAAAUAUGGACUUUUCUUUCUCUCUAAAGAGUGACUAGAGUUCCUUUCUUUGGAAUUUAAAAAAAUAUGAGAGGAAGAAUGAAGCUCUAGCCCCUUUUUAAGGGGUUUAUAUAGGUUUUCAUGUAGGUUUAAAUGACUUGAACCCAAAUUAGGUUUGAGCCACUUAAUCCAACCCACUUGGGUCCUAAUUAAUUAAUUAACUCUAAUGAGCUCAAAUUAAUUAAUUAGUUUAGUCAUAAAAUCUAAUGCAACUUUGCAAAUUUACUAAAAUGCCAUUAUUGCACACUUAUGAAUUAUAUACCCAAAAUACCCUCAAAGCAUUUGCCAUCAUGAAAUAAAAACUCGACUAGAGACCAUUGGGACCCAUAGGAAAACACUAGUUCUUUCAUAAUCCAAUUCUGAAGUUCACUCAACAUUCCACUAAAAAUAGUCAAUUGCAUUCCAAUGUCCUAUGAAAUUACAAUAAACAUAGCUCAAGUCCGUAACCUACAAUUCAUUACAUGUAGACUUUCCAUGAACUGGUGUUUGUAAUUUAAUAAGAUGGUGUUAUCACCUAUCAAUAUUAUCUCUCAAAUCCUUAAGUUGUAAAUCUCACUUAUUAUGUGAUCAACUGAUAUACUUUAGAUCUAAAGAGUAUAUGUCAAAUUUCAUUAUAAGAACUACUACGAUCACAAUUUUCAUGAUCACAUAUCCUUUAAAUUACCCAAGGGGACACUCUGUCGUAAUCCCAUGAAAUAUCAUAGUGUCUCUAUUGAAAAUACCUAUUGCCACUAGCCUCCAUCAAUAGUGACCUAAUCCGUAGGGGUAUUGACCACGAUCUCACUCAUAGGUCAAAGUCUCCUAUUGAUUUUGACACAAACUUAAUAUUCUUUCAAGGUUGAGAGUCCAUGUAGUAAGUAACUUGGUGAAUCAUGACAAUCGAUAGUGUUACAUAAUGAUUCACUGUAGGUCUUAUUUAGUGUGCAUCAUAUACACUAGUGCACUUACCAUGGGAAACCUAUUACGACAGUUAAGAUAAGUCAUCCUACUAAUUAGGAGAUGGUGCACUACAGUCUUUACUGAAUUAUCCAAAUCCAUAAAUUAACUGUGGAUAACUUAUCUACUUAUAAAGAAUACAUGACUUGUAUCAUUUGUGCAACUCUUAAUGCACACCUAAGUCAUAUACAAUGUAAAAGAUAUGAGCUAAAUGCUCAAAUCAAUGUCAGUGCAUAAAAGGAAUAACUAGGGGAUGGUCAAGUCUAACCUUGUUACAUUAUGUCUUGCCUUUAGGGGCUUAAUCCUAACAAAUUGAAUGUUAAAACUUUUUCGAAAAUAAUUAUAUAUAAAUAGGAUAUGGAGAUAAUAAUGAAUAAAUAAAGAGAAACAAUAAGAAAUUAGGAGAAGAAGAUUGCAAUUAUAAUAGUUCAAUAAGCCAUUUAUGUCCACUCUCCUUAAGUUCCCAACUAAGUGAGGGUUUCCACUAUCGUCAAGACUUGAACUAUAAGCCUUCAAUGUCUACACUUGGAUUCCAAUGUUCUAAUGGACAUUUACAACUUCUUUAAGUAAUCAACCUACUUAAGUAACUUCUCUCACAAUAGGUAAGUUAUAAGAAUGAAUUUAUGAACACCAAACCUAAUAGCAAGUUAGAUUCUCAAUAUAAGAAAGAAUUAGGAUGGACUUGAAGAUGCACAGAAGAAUUCACAACUUAAGAAAUGAGUGCACUUUUGGAAAAGCUUUGAAUAAGAGAAAACAUAAUUUUUCAAUUGAAUACAUUUAUUCUCUUAUCAAUAAAUACUCUAAAACUCUUCAAUGUAUAGUUUUCCAAUUUGGGGACCUUAGAAGCCAUAACCAGGGCUCGAUCAAUUGAGUAACUAAUUUGACCAGUUCACAAGUUGUUGUGCAUUCACUGGUAGGUAACCAUUGACAUUCAAACUCUCAAUACUGAGCAUUCAAUUCUACCAGUGGAGGCUCUACCACAAUUGGUUGAACAUAUGCUACUAGAUAAGAGAGAAGGUGCAAAGUGCACCUAAAUCGGUUGAGUCCAACCAACACAACCAAUUACUUACAACCUUGAUUGAUUGCACUAUAAAGUGCUUAAACAACUAUCAAUAUAUUCACAUUCUUAAAACCUUUUAAGAUAAAUUUAGAAAGAAUUUGACUCAAGAUUUUGAUAAAAAAAAAAAAAAAACAAGAAACCAUCAAAUUCUUUGGUAAGAAAUGAUCUUUUAAGUUUAAGGAUGGAUGAUUUUAAACCAUUAAGUGCAUAAAAACGAUUUAGACUCAAGUGCACCAACAAAUGUUAAUCUUAAAAUUAAUCUUUUAAGUCUUCAUGGAUCCAAAUUCUUCACGGUAUUGAUUUUCCUCCAAGGUUGCUUGAGCUUUCUUUAAAUUAUCAUAAGUGAACUUGAAAUAAUUAACUUAAUUUGAACCAUUAGUAACCAUAACCUUGUGUGGACCCGCAUUUUUCAUGUGCGUCCCCACUCGAUCGGCGAGACUCUCUUUUUAUUUGUGAAAAAUUAUUUAGUUUUGGAAAAGUUGGAGCCGCCACUUAUUUUAUUUUUAUUUUAAAGGGAAAAUAAAACAAGAAAGAAAAACCCUAAAAUAUGACUCCAUAAUUUUUGGAAAAAACAUGUCUUUGAAAAACCUGAGUCUAGGUCCGGGGAUCAGGUUACUUAUUGGGAAGGUAUCUCUAGGAGGUAGCACCCUUCUAAGCUCUAAAGAGGCCUUUACUGACUAAAUUGGGGAAAUGGGGCAAUUAAUUGAUUAAUUGUAGAUACCUAAGUAAGCUAGGUGAUUUUCAGAAAGUAGCAUGCUAAAUAAGGAAAUCAAUCACAAUAAAGGAGAGUUAGGGUGUGUACCUGAACCACUUCUUAACCGCUAUCAUAAAACAUCAAUGGUUAAUUCAGAAAUAUGACACACGACAUGCAUUUUAUCAAGGAUGAUCAAACAAGCAUCGAGGCAAUCAAGUAUGACAUCAAACAAGGGCAAUAACAUGCAUAUUCAUGAAAUUUUGGGAACGUACCUGGAUAGUAUAUAUAACUCCUAAUGUGCUUCCUCAGGACAUGGGGGUUAGAUAAUAAAUAAUAAAUAAUAAAUCCUAGCAUGCUUAUCUAAUUAAUUAGCAAAAACUAUCAGAAUUCGGAAUAAUUAAUUAUCAUACAUAUCUUGUAUACAAUUCCUAAAAAGAAAAAUGUAAAUAUGAUUACGAUAAAUAGUAGGGUGGUAGCAAAAGUAAAUUUUGAAAAAAAUUUCUUAUGUAGGGGUUUCACCAAUUCCCCAAAUUAAUAUACAUGAAUUUAGCCUAAAAUUAUCCCAUUUAUUGGGACCACAAGCUCUGAUUCGCGUUUUGUUCAAAACCAAAAUUUUUGUUGAAAAUUGAGAAGGAUGCGAAUUGAUUAAGAUACGGUUGCAUAUUAUUUUUUAAAAAGAAAAUAGAUUUUGAUUCUAGAGGCUUAAAUGAAUAAUAAAAAAAAUUUAAAAAGGGUUUUUUUUUUAGAAAAAGAGUUUUGUUUUAAAAUAAAAGAAAUUAAUUUUUAAAAUAACAAAAAUAGAAAACAGAAUAUCAAUCAAACCAAAAGGAAACAAAGAUCACGAAAUAAAGAUUUUAGAAAAUCUUGUCAAUUAAAGUGGUGAGAGUAAAGGCCAACCUUCAUGGGUUUCCAGUGGCCCUAAAAAAAAAAAAAAUUGACCAACAAUCACUAAGGCAACAAAUUUAUGACUUCCUAAUCAAACAAACUAACAAAAUUAUCAUCCAAAAACUAAUAUUUAGAUUUCAAGAAACACAUGAAUAACUAGAAUUAGACUAAUUGGAAUUAAAAAUGUAAACUUUACCUCACAAGAUCGAUUAAACUAAAGAAUUAAGAUCGAUAACACAUUCAAAUUAAAAAUAAACUAGAAUUUAAACUAAUCGGAAUUAAAAAUAUAAACUUUACCUUACAAGACCAAUUAAACUAAUAGAUUAAGAUCAAUGACCCAUUCGAAUUAAAAAUAAACUAAAAUUAAACUAAUUAGAAUUAAAAAUAUAAAUUUUAUCUCACAAGAUCAAUUAAACUAAAGAAUUAAGAUUGAUAACAUUAUUCAAAUUAAAAAUAAACUAGAAUUAAACUAAUUGGAAUUAAAAAUAUAAAUUUUACCUCACAAGACCAAUUAAACUAAUAGAUUUAGGAUCAAUAACUCAUUCAAAUUAAAAAUAAACUAGAAUUUAAACUAAUCGGAAUUAAAAAUAUAAACUUUACCUUACAAGUCCAAUUAAAGUAUUUAAGAUCAAUAACACAUUCAAAUUAAAAAUAAACUAGAAUUUAAACAAAUCGGAAUUAAAAAUAUAAACUUUACCUUUCAAGUCCAAUUAAACUAAUAGAUUUAAUAUCAAUAACUAAUUCAAAUUAAAAAUUAAACUAGAAUUUAAACUAAUCCGAAUUAAAAAUAUAAACUUUAUCUUACAAGUCCAAUUAAACUAAUAGAUUUAAGAUCAAUAACUCAUUCAAAUUAAAAAUAAACUAGAAUUUAAACUAAUCGGAAUUAAAAAUAUAAACUUUACCUUACAAGUCCAAUUAAACUAAUAGAUUUAAGAUCAAUAACUCAUUCAAAUUAAAAAUAAACUAGAAUUUAAACUAAUCGGAAUUAAAAAUAUCAACUUUACCUUACAAGUCCAAUUAAACUAAUAGAUUUAAGAUCAAUAACUCAUUCAAAUUAAAAAUAAACUAGAAUUUUAACUAAUCGGAAUUAAAAAUAUAAACUUUGCCUUACAAGUCCAAUUAAACUAAUAGAUUUAAGAUCAACAACUCAUUCAAAUUAAAAAUAAACUAGAAUUUAAACUAAUCGGAAUUAAAAAUAUAAACUUUACCUUACAAGUCCAAUUAAUAGAUUUAAGAUCAAUAACUCAUUCAAAUUAAAAAUAAACUAAAAUUAAACUAAUCGGAAUAAAAAUAUCAAUUUUACCUUACAAGACCAAUUAAACUAAUAGAUUUAAGAUAAAUAACUCAUUCAAAUUAAAAAUAAACUAAAAUUAAACUAAUUGGAAUUAAAAAUAUAAAUUUUAUCUCACAAAGGUCAAUUAAACCAAAGAAUUAAGAUCGAUAUCUCAUUCAAAUUAAAAAUAAACUAAAAUUAAACUAAUUGGAAUUAAAAAUAUAAAUUUUAUCUCACAAGGUCGGUUAAACUAAAGAAUUAAGAUUGAUAACUCAUUCAAAUUUAAAAAUAAACUAAUUAGAAUUAAAAAUAUAAACUUUAUUUAAACUUUCAUGUAAAUUAAAAAUAAACUAGCAUAGAACUAAUGAAUUGCAAUCAUAAAAGAGAGACAUUUAAUCUAAGAAAAAUAAAAGAUUGUUCGAAAUCGAGAUUUAAAAGAAUUUAUCACAAACAAUUAAUUAAACCAAACAACUAAAACCCAAACUAAAAAAAAAAAAAAGGAAAUAUGGUAUCAAAAAUCGAAAACUAACCUAUAUUGUAUCGGAAAAAAUACUCUCUUGAUGUGUCAAAAUGGCAGCCCAAUUAGUCUUUCAGGUCCUCUACCGCUCCCAAAAAAAAAAAAAACACUCUUGCGUGUCUUGAUCUCCUCUAAAAAAGAUUACUUUUUGUAUGUGAAUUUCUACUCCAAAAGAAAAAAAAAAAAUCUCCUCGCCAAAGAAAAAGUCUCCCUUGUCUUAGAUCUCUCUCCUCAAGAAAAACAAUCCCCCCCUCCAAAAAUAAAACUUCUAUCCAAAAAAAAAGGAAAUCCACUUUCCUUUCUUAUUUUCUACCCUUUUAUAACCGAUUCUCCCAUGGAAAUAAUAUAUGUACUAUCCUUCUAAAAACAAAAUCUCCUCUUUUUCAAAAUUCUGUUGAUUCUUCUUCCAAAUAGAUGGCGGCCCGUUUCCUCAUGCCCAAAAAGCCAAGAAAUAUGAUUUAGAAAACUUGUAAUAAGAUAAAAUAAAAUAAAAAUAAAAAUAAAAAUAAUAAAGAAAUCCAUAUAAGUCACACAAGUCAUGUAAGCCAUGCAAUCAUGCAAGUCAUAUAAGAAGUGGGUUUAAAAAUGCUUAAAUGGGCCUAAGGUGUUCAAGAAAGUGCCUAAGUCUAAAUUAGGACUGCCAAGGUCAUAAUAAGGGGUUAGACAAUCUUUCAACCAGAGUCUCCGAGGUGGUUCAAGAAAGGUAAAUAGUGUGAGUAGAUAUGGGCCACCAAGGAGCUAACUGUAAAAUAUCGAACAAGUUCUAAUAAGACAUGUGUUAGGAGGACAAAAUUGAGGGUCUACACCUUGUUUUGUGAUUAUCAAAACUUGAUUAGGAGAAUCCUUAGGUUAACAUAAAAUUUGAAACUAUUUUUUAAGUAAAACUGAAAUAAUUUCUUUUAACUAAAAAAAUAAAAAAAAAAUUGGAAUCAUUUUGUAAGAGUAAAUAAAAAUCAUGUUGUUGAUUGAAAUAUUUUCUUAAAUAAAAUUUUAAAAUAAUUUUUUGUAAUAAAAGAAAGUAAGAACCAUUUUCUGAAAAAAUAAAUGAACUCAAAUAAUUUUAUGGAAGUAAAAUUGCAUUUAGUUAAAUUUCUUAGUAAGAAAUAAAUUAGAAUCAUUUUCUUGUAAAUAAAAAUUAUAAAUUUCAUUUUCUUAUGAACAAAAUUGAAGGGAAGUAAUUUUUUGUACAUUUUACAAAUAAAAUUGUAAAAAAAAAAAAUCAGUUUUCUAAAUAAAAAUUUUAAAAAUCAUUUUCUUAUAAAUAAAUUGGAUUAAAACAUUUUUUUUAUAGUAAAAUUGUAAAUAUCUUCUUCUUAUUAAAAAAGUAAAUAGGUUAUAAGAAAAUUUCCUUGUAAACAAAAUUAUACUUUGAAACAUUUCCCAUAAAUAAAAAUAAAUCAAAUGUUUUUUAAAAUAAAUUGAAACUUUCUUUUGUAAACAAAAGUAAAUUGAAAUAAUUGAAUUGGAAUAACUUUAUUUUAUUUUUUUAUGUAAAUAAAGUCUUUUGAAUAACCUUCUCAAUAGGUAACUUGACAUUUUAAUCUAUUUUUGGUUCAUAGAUUUGUCUUUCCCCGAUAAGAAGUCCCACAAGGUUUUCUUUAUUAUUUUAUUUUCCCUUUAAUCUAUUUUUGGUUCACAGACUUGUCUUUCCCCGAUAAAAAGCCCCACAAGGUUUUCUUUGUUAUUUUAUUUUCCCUAUAGAAAGAACUAAAAUAAGCAAUAAUUCCAAAAUACCUAAAAAUGAUUUUCAAAAAUAUUUUUCCACCAAAUCCAAAUGUCACCAUCAAGUGGGGAUGCAACGAUUCACAUUUAUAGAGGAUAUGUAAGUCUUCAUCCCAUUGGAUCCUAAUUAAUUAAUUAGUUCUAUUGAAUUUCAAUUAAUUAGUCAAAUUCAGAAAGACAAUUAAUAAACUUUUGUGCAAUCUUAUGUUUACACAUGAAUAAAAAAACCCAAAUAUCCCUCAAAAUAUUAUAUCACUAAGGAAUGUAAACUUGAGCUAGGACCAUUGAGACUUAUAAGAAAACACUAGCUCCUUCAGAACUAAUUCUAAAGUUAAUUCAACAUUUCAUUACAGAGAAUCAACUCUACUCCAACAUCCUAUGAAAUUAAGUUGAAAAAAUGAAUUGAUUAAAUCUAAUUUAAUCCAUUUCUUUGGUAUAUAAUCUACUAAUAAUUCAUUGCAUGCAAUAUCUCCAUAAAUUAGUGUUUGUAAUUUAAUAAACUAGAAGCUAUCAACCUUUCAAGACUAUUUUUACCAUCUUUAAAUCUCAAAUAUCUUCUUGUUAUAUGACAAUUGACAAACUCUAUCUCAUCAAGAGAAUAUGUAAAAUUUCAUUAUAGAAAUUACUGUAUCAUCACAAAUUUUAAUAAUAAGUCCUUAGGAUUACUCAAGUAGAUAGACUAUCUCAAUCCCAUGAGAUAUCAUAAUCUCUAUCUCGAGAAUAUUUGUGUUUUAAUCAACAAUGACUCAAUUCAUAGGUUCUCACUCAUUGGUUAAAACCACUAAAGACCUAAACACUAGCUCAAUAUUCCUUAAAAAUUAAGAUUUUAGAUUGAGAGCUCAUAUAACAUAGUAGUUUGGUGAAAUCAUGACUACUCGAUAACCAAUGUUAUGAUUCAUCAUAGAUCUUGUUCAAUGUAUAAUCAUAUACAUUACUGCACUCAUCAUGAGAAAGUCAUUCCAAUGACCAAGACAAGUAAUCUCUCCAAUUAGAAGGUCGUGUACUACAAUCUGAUAUGGAUUGCUUAAGUCUAUGAACCAUCAACUUAUAAGGAACUCAUGACUUAGAUUUUCUAUGCAACUCCUAAAACAUCAAAGUUAUGUACUAUGUAGGUAACGCAGGCUUAAAUGCUCAAGUCAAUUAUAAUGCAUAAAUAGGAUAAUCAAGUGAAACCGAAAUCAUAAUAUAAAUAUUAAUGAAAUUAUAUAUUGUUAUAUUAUGACAUGCUUUUCAAGGCUCUAUCCUAAAAAAUGACAAUUCACUUUCUAUCCUCCAUGCUUUGUUUGUUCUACCGAAUAGAAUCUAACAAAUGAGUUCACAUUAGAAUCUACAAAUCUGAACCAAUGCCAAUUAUACUUACAAUACUAAAAGCUUGGGGUUAUAGAUUACUUUUGAGCCUAUGUAAUGGUCCUUAGAGAGGUACAAAUCUUUGGAAGCAAAGCUCAAAACGAUCUAAGCUCAAGUCACCAAGUUGAAAAGGUUGGACAACUCGGCCACUGAGAUUGCUUAGAGCCAGGAAGAGGCACAGAACAAGAGUGAUCGCUUUCUAGUUGAGAAUAAGGUUUUACUUGUUUACCACAAGAAGGUGAUUGAAUAGGGUGGCAGGUGGCUUACUACACACAGAGCUGUAAAAGGCUAAGGAGGAUUUGGUGACCUAGAAAGUGGAGCACGUAACUAAUUUUCAGAGGCAGGUGGGUGAUAUGUAUCUCUUUGGCUGCUAAUAAUGCAUGAAAAAACACAAGAUCAUGGAGGAUGUAGAGACUCAUGAAGAGAACAAGGACGUGGGGAUGGUCUUUGGCGCCAAGAAAGGGGCUGACCAACCUAGGGACUCUAAGCAACUACCUGGGAUGGGAGUUGAAAAUGAAGAUCAUCCAAUCAAAGUUGGUGAAUAAUUUCUUUUGUCACUUUUCAAUAUUUUACCUUUUUGGCCCGUAUGAUGUUUAGACAAUUUCCACUUCUUGUUCCCGAGAAUGUUUGGUCAGGUUUGUUGAUGCUUUUGGGCAUAGUUUUCUAGUUCUUUUGUGUGAACUUUAUUUUGUUAUAGUUAGCAUUCAGGCAUGCUCUUUGCACAGUUUCACUUUUAACUAGCCAUAUUCAACUUCAUAGAUCAAUUGAAGUGAUGCCAAAAGUUAGAUAAUAGGAUCACAAUUUAGGGAUAUAAGUGUCAACGCCUAUAACGGCAUGGGGCAUACUGGCCUUGAUGCCUUGACUUUCAUACCAUGAAGAUUGGAGACAUGACUCUAUAUAUUACUAAUUCAUAGAUUAUCUACUACCAAAAGGAAGAGCAUAUUGUGCGACUACUAGGACAAUAUGUAUAACUCUUGCAGAUUUGUAGGAUACAUAUUACAUCCAGUCUCCAUUUUGGUAUUAAUUUCUAUGAUAUUUACCAUGAAGACAGGUCCAAUCCACCCUCACGACAUGUGAAAGCUUUUAGUACUAAAAAUGAUGAUUUGAAGAUACAAGGCAAGAACUGGGCUCAGGGGGAAUCAUUCCCAUAGUCGACAUACAGCUGAGAAUCACCCCACCUUCAUUUCUUCCAUUGGGGUUGCUAUUUGUCCUUGCAAAAGCAUCCUGAUCCAGAUGGAAAGCAAAUAAAACGGAAAACCAUGUACUAAAGUAGGAAAAGCAUUGAUUCCAAUAAUGAAGGACCAUUGAUCCCAAAUAUAUUCCUAGUAUUCAACCAUGGAAGCAGGAGUUUAGGCAACUGUAACUACUGCAGGAUUGGGGAAUCAUGCAUUAUACAGAAUCUGUUUAACUGUAAUUGAAAGCUAAAACAGCAUAAUCUUGAAUUUCUAUGUGGACCAGUGCUAGACUUAAGAAAAUUCAUUUUUGUGCUUUAUAGGAGAAACUAUUUUCCUCCUAGAAGUUUUGUGUCAAAUUUACCUUUCUUGUGUAAGGAACAGAUAACUUCAUACAAAUUUUGAUGCAGCUAUCCUUUAUAUAAAGUUCUUAUCUAUUUUCAGCUAUAGCUAUCAGUCAAAUCACUAAACUAGGCAAAGCAUCCACUUCCUCGUCUAUAUCUGAAUUUGCAUAAGCAGUAUCAGAGCAGUGAGCACCCAACGCCCUUGCAGUUCAUAGUUCGAUUACUUUGAUUAAACCAGGAGUUCUGCCUGUCCAGGAGAGUACUAUACAAACCUGUCACUGAUUUGAAGAUCCAGUGGGGUAGUCCCGAACACAUCCAAAUCAUUUUGGAAUAUGGGCACAAACCUUUCCAUACACUCAUAUUUUGAAAAGCAGUUAAACUUACAGAUGCCAGACACACCACUCAAUGCACAAUUUUAGUUGGUUGGCCAUGAACAAUAAAUCAUUUUCCCUGGAUUUAUAUUCUGGCAUUAAGUGGUAUUCAUUCCCUUGAUAUAAAUAACAAAAUCAAUCCCAAUUUGCAGCUAUAAUCUACUUAAAUCUCACAUGUCAUCCCCACAAAAUUAUUAAGCCCAUUAAUUAUUGUUUCCGUUUUGUCAUAAUUUCUGUCAAUUGUUUAUAUACAUAACCUUUUAUUCUUGAUGCUAAAAUUUAGAUAAGUAAGAAGUAUUGAGAAAAUGUAUAUAGUCAACUCCAAUUAGUGAACUCCAAUACGAUGUAUAACUUCCAUUAUAUACAUACCAAAAGCACCAACAGAGAUUGAUCAUAUGAUGGCAUCUUAGAUGAGUCUUUGGUUGGAAGCUAAGUAGUGUGGUUGUGAAAAGUCACCAAAAGUAGUUGGAAAUUGAGCUUAUAUGCUUAUAGGUCUAAAGACAACAAAACAUCAACAUUAAGCAUCUUCUAUCGAGCUUCUAACUGAGUGAUGGUGGUGUGACUGCCAGAGGAAGAAUUUACUUCCAUCAUACUCCUAUCAGUGAAGAAACAAGGCUCUUUAGGCCGAGGUAGUGCACCCUCACUACUCAACAUCAGAACCACGGAAUGCAUGCUUGGUCGAUCAUCUGGGAAACGUUGUACGCAUAAUAGGCCGACAUUGAUUGAACGUAGCACUUCAGAUAGAUUGUAGGUGUUCGCUAUUGAUGCAUCAAUAAAUUCUGAAGACCCACCUUCAAUAUAGAGUGUCCAUGCCUAGAGAAUUGAAAAGAUGAUCAACACUGCCUUUAUAUAGUGAAAUAAGGAAAUAAGAAAAUAUUACCGAAUGCUUACAUGCCCAAGAAGAUUAAGGUCAUGGUCUGGAUGGCUAAAUCCUCUGUUUCUCUUCCCACUUAGAAUCUCUAGCACCAAAACACCAAAGCUAUAAACAUCGGAUUUUGUGGAAUACAAUCCUUCACUUGCAUACUCUGGAGACAUAUAACCUCUAUAGGAAACCAUUGAAGGAGGGGUUAAAUUCACAAGCAAGAGCAAUAAGAGUAUAUGCACAUCACUAGAUAUACUUACAAUGUUCCAGCCACUCUUGUUGUGCUUGCUCCAAGUUCAUUCCCUCCAAAACUUCUUGCUAUUCCAAAGUCCGAAAUUUUUGGGUUCAUAUCAUUAUCUAGUAAAACAUUUUCUGCUUUGAGAUCUCUAUGGAUUAUCCUGAGUCUGGAGUCUUGAUGAAGAUAAAGAAGGCCUCGAGCAAUACCAUUGAUAAUGAGGAAGCGCUUGGGCCAAUCUAGUACAAUGCCUCGCAUUUGAUCUGUCCAUUUUAUUUUACUUUUUGUCAUUCAAGGUAGCUCAUUCUACUAGGAUUGUUGAAUAGAAAUUGAGAGAAUAAUUCAAAGCAAUGACAUAAAAAUAUACUCAUUUUGGUGAUUAAGGAACACUGUCAAGGUAAAUGGAUAAUGGAUCUAAACCCUUAAUAGUAUAUAUUAGAGCCAAAAGGUUAGAGAAAAUGGAAGUAAGAGGUAUUUUCUAGAUAAAUGCAUCUAUGCUUUAUCUUAUUCCCAAGUUUUAUUUAUUUAUUUAUUUUUUUUGGGAAUUGGUCAAAUCCAUUAAAAACAAAGAAUUUCCCUAGCAUUCAUCGGAGAAGAAAAACAAAAGAGACGUCACUUGACUAGACAAACAAAUUAUAUAGUGGUUUUAGAGAGCCAAACCAAAAAUGAACAAGUCCAGGCUUUUGUUGGGCAAGUAUUCAUAGAUGAGCAUCUUUUCUCUGCCACAAAUGCAACAUCCAAGAAGCUUUACGAGAUUUCGGUGCUGAAGUUUUGCAAUGGAUUCAACUUCAUUUUUGAACUCCUUUAAUCCUUGUCUAGAAGUUUUAGACAGCCUCUUUACAGCUAUUUCUUCUCCAUCUUCCAAUAUUCCCUAAAAACAUCACAUUCUUUUUAUUCUGAAACCUUUGCAGAUUAAAUGAAACUUGUCAAUAUCCAAAUGUGGAGUCCUUAACAAACUAGUGACAAAAAAAUAGCUGUGUUUGUUGUGUACCAUUAACUUGUAAGUUGUCUUCUACCCAAAAAUCAGACUAUACACUUACCUUGUAGACAGGUCCAAAACCACCCUCUCCAAGCUUAUUGUCACUAGAAAAGUUAUUGGUGGCAUUCAGUAAUGUAGCCAACUCAAAUAAUGGUAACUCUAAAUGCUCCUGGCCUUCACUGGUUUCACCCCCAUCUGAAUUGUGUUCCAUGUAUCCUGUAAAAAGGUGAAUGGAAUAACAAAUUAAAGAAUAUAUGAAUCAAAUAUAUAGAAAACCUGAACUUCACCUAUUUCCAAGCCUGGAUCAUUUCAUCAUUCAAAUCAAUCCAGGCCAAUCCCUUGCUCCUUUUGUUGAAUAAUACAUAAUCAGACACCAUGUGGAAGUACUUUUGACUGAUACAUAUAGUGAUAUGAGCAAUAUGAUUUGCUACUUACCUUUUCUCUUUAGCUGCUGCUUCAUCUUCUUCAGCAUAUACCAGGUCAGAACUAGGAUUAGAAGAACUAUUCCCGUAAUUGAUAUUGAGAUGACAAUGACCUGCUUUUGCUUCUUCUUGGAGCUGAUAUUUGUGCUUGAAAAAGCAUCUUGAAGCAGAUGGAAAGAAAUUAAGCAGGAGAGUCAGGUAAUAAAAUUGAACAACGAUACAAACUCCCAUAAGCAAUAACUUCUGAUCCAAAAUAUUUUUUUUUUGUUUACAACUAUGAAAGCAGGAGUUCUAGGAGCUUGGGUUGCAGUAGGAUUUGAGGGCACAAAUCAGUUGGCUUACUCAUGUGUUCUACCAUCUACCCCGCUAUAAUUGAAAUUUAACAGAAAAAUAUUCCAACUUUUGAGUGGACCCCUGCUUUACACUCUAGACUGCAGAAAAUAAGUAGGUUAUUCCAUGAAAACAUGUGCAUGAUAGCUGGUCUCAGAUUUUUCACAUCAGCUGUGUUUGAGAAAGAGGUAAGGAUUUAAGUGGAAAAAUCAAGGUAUAAAAACCAAAGGCAUGUAUGCUGGGUGAACAACUGAUUAAAAACUUCUGAAUAAGUAUACCUGUUGUCCUCUAGGAAAGUUGUAUCAGAUUUAUGUUUUUCAGUUAACAAAGAAGAGAUAAAUUCGUACCUGAUUCUGAGGCAGACAUCCUUACAUAAAACUCUUGUCCAUUUUCAGCAAAUUCUCUGAUAUCAGUCAAGUUACCAAACCAGAGCAAGCACCCACUUCCUUCUCCGCUGAUAUUUGAAUUUACAUAAGCUGUACAAGAACAGUUCCUCAAGCACAGGGAUGCACAUUCCUUAAGGUUCAUGCUUUCAUUAAACCAGGAUGUCCGUGUGUCGGGCAGUUUCACGCCAGAGAACUUUACAAAUCUAUCACCCUUCUGACAAUCCAGUGGUGUACUUCGAACGCAUCCAUCUGACCAAUCUGCCAUGUCCCAAUUGCUUUGGAACCUUGGCCUAAAUCCUUUCAUACACUCACAUUUUGGAGAUUGGUCAAUCUUACAGAUGCCAUUUGCACCACAUAAUGCAUAGUUAUCACAAUCAUCGUUCUGUACACUUGAGUAUUUAACCCAUUGGCCUUUUUCAUCAAUCCAUGUGAACCUCUGUGCGUAACCAUCAGGAGUUAACACAAGCCUCGUAAGAAGAGAACUGUUAACAAGAUAAUAAAUGAAAUAUAUCUCCUUUUCAUUAAGAACAAAAUCAUAUGUAUAAACUGGGUUUGGUGUAAAAUGAGGAUAACCACUAAAUCGAAUACCAUUCCAUGGCCCAGAGCGAAAAGUCACAACCGAAACAUUCCUCACAAAUAUUUGUGGAGAUCCACUAGGAUCAAUCCCAUAUGUGAAAGUACCUAUAGAGGGGUCAUCAGCACUCUUCCAAGAUGAUAGGUACCGAUCCAGGCCUGUUACUCUGUUCCAUCCAAGUUUCAUGCCUGGUAGAAGAGUAUUACAUGGAUAAUCAAAACUCUGCCAUAGGAAGUUUUCCGGGUUACCAUCAUUCCCAUUUUUCAUUACAAGAUUUCCAGAGUCCAAAAGCUGAGCAUUUGGAUUCUGUGCGGGUCGUGAUGAAGUAGAAGACCAAAGAGUUUUAUUAGCACCAUCGAGAACAACAAGAAUUCCCUGACUCGUUACCUUUAAGACUCCUGAUGAAUCAUUUAGUGGAUUUUCUCUGUUUGCAACCCAUACCACAGCCCUAUUCAACUCUUUCUUGUACCGUAUCCCCAAGUAUCGAUGCUUUGAAUUAGCUGGACUGAAGAAACCCAAUUCAAAGCUCCCGCCCGCUGAAGUGAUGGUCUCAGCAUCUGUAAUGAGUUGAUUUACAGUUAUGGUGUCUACUCCAAUGGAGAUUCUUAAGAGGGAAAACACAUAGGUGAAGAUAACUACAACUCUUACAAAAGCAUCCAUAGGUGUUCCUAGAUAAAAAGUUGCUGAGAUUUUAGGUGCUUUCCAGUUCUCCUAAUAUUUUCCUUUUUCGCCUGCCUAAUUUGCUCAUACAUCACGGUCAAUGUAACUUUCCACUGGUAAGCACAUUACGCAGGAAAUGUAUUCCCUCCAUAUUUUUCUUGGAUUGUAUAGUCUCUGUCAUUUGGUGGUGUGGCCCCUUGAGUUAAAUAUCUGUUUGAAUUUGUAUGCUUAUCAGUAACAGUCAUCAUUGGACUAGGUAUCCAGUGUUAAUCAUCUUCUCCUACAUCCAAAUUUAAUUUUCUGCACCUCUUAAAAUCACUGGUGGAGCCAGCUGUACCAACGACGGGCACCUCUUAAAAUUGUAAUAGGGGUUUUGAACCCUUGACCUUAUGCUUAAAGGGAAAGACUGUUUUUCACUACACUAAAUACCAUUGUCCCUCUCUUUUUUGGCCCCCCUAAAAUAAUUCCUAUAUUUGUGCCCCUGUUGGAGCACAUUCCUAGCUCCGCCACUGCUUAAAAUGGACUAGGGAUUAGUUUAUCCCCUUUGAUCAAAUAUCUCCGAUUAUAAGCAACAUAUCCCUCUUGAAGAAUUAUCAGUUGAAGUAAAGACCAAGGACAGAAUGACUGUUAUAGCAACUCUCUGUCCUUUCCCAAGUUUCCAGGGACAUGUCAGUUAAAACUCGGAGUCACUGGUAGGAUUGAAUAUUCAUGUGGUCCAGUUUCUAAUUAAACCGAGGAGUAGCUUCCAUGGUAUACACCCGAUUUGACCAGGCAGCUUGACUCGUCUGGAUGUGCAGCAUGUGCUAGGGAGACUUUUGGACUGAGUAGCUGACCCAAAUGACACGCCACAGACUAGAGUUAUUUGGACUCGCUGAUAUUUUUCUAACUUUGAAACUAUCCCACGCAAGUCAUUGCCAGUUUUGGACUCAAUUAUAUGGGUGUGUAAACUUUUUAACACCUUAGAUAUCGACAUCAAACUGGUCCAGGCCAACUAGCUGACAAGAAUUUUACGGUCGGGCACCACCGACUUACCAUGCCUCCUGUGUUGAGACACUGCUUUUGUCUCCAUCCCUUUCCACAAGUUUAAUUCCAAGAUAAUUUGUGUUCUCAUGAACCUGGUGGUGCUAAACAAGGUCCCAUGCUAUUAUAUUAGUUGAGGUGAAUUUCUUUUCCUUUUCCUUGUCCUUUUUCUUUUUCAAGUUAGGAUCACAAAGUCCACACUUAGUGUCCAAGCUUUCAGAGUCAUUCAAGGUAUAGGAAUAAGAGGGUAUUUGCAGAGGUGUCCAAUAAGUUAAGAGGGUUUGAGUAAGGAGACCGUUUCUUUUGAAUAUCUGUUUGAUUGUUGUGACUUAGACAAGAACAUCAACCUCCAUGUACAAAUGCAACAGUGGACUAUCAGUAAGGGGUCCAUCCAUAAAUGGACUGAAUAUCUAAAUUUGAUUUUCUAUACCUCUUGAAAUGGAUUAGGGAUUAGUUUCUCCCUUGAAUGGACCUAAUAUUCAGUUUUCACAUGACCAAUCUCACCUCUUCUUUAGAAGAAUUACAUGGCGAAGAAAGAACCAAGAACAGAAUGGCUGUUGCAGCAAUUCCCUUUCCUGGCCAUGGUUUAAUACCUAUAAGAGACACAGGCAAAGACUAAGCAGACCGCAUAAUUAGCUGAAACUGGCCCUUGCUUGUCAGGGUAAGAAUUUGGCCCCAACACACCUUUGAGGGAAAAGACCAGGCUCUUUAUGCUGAGGCGAUGCAGCCUCAGUACCCAACAGCAGAACAAUGGAACACAUGCUUUACCUUCAUUUGAACAGAACAGUACAAAUAAUUACGGUUGAGAGAUGAGAAAAUCUAAAAUAUCACCAUAAAAAGAAAAAAUCUGGCCUUGGAUUAUGCACACUUUUUGUGAAUCCAGGGCCUGGAUUAUGCACACUCUUUGCGAAUCCAAGCCUUGGAUUAUGCACGCUUUUGCGAAUCCAUGUUGGAUUAUGCACGCCUUUUGCAAAUCCAUGCCUUGGAUUGUUCACAUUUUUUGUGAAUCCAGGGCUUGGAGUAUGUGCACUUUUUGCGAAUCCAUGUUUUGGAUUAUGCACAUUUUUUGUGAAUCCACCUACCAUGUAACUGGCAUUUAUUCACUUUUUUGUUCAAAAAUGAUAGGUGAGAAGAAACCAUUGGUUGCCCACCAUCUAUAUAACCUGUCUACAAGUUUGUAGAUGGACACCAAAUUUGAAGAGUUCUUUCUGUAGGUAUCAACAUUGUGGUUUUGAAUCCUUAUAUGCAUAUCUUUUUACUUUCUAAAUAAUUUGUUUUUCUUUCUUGUGUAAAUAUUAUCAGGUUGGAAGGAAAAUCAAUAGGGUGUAAGAUGGAGCUACCAAGUAAGAUCAACAACAACGAGAAAUCACUUCAACAAGGAAUUUCACCUUCAGGAAAUGGUGGUUUGAUUUCAAAUAGCAAGCUUACUGCACUUGUGGUGGAUAGUGAUAGAAUUUGUCAAAUAUUGGAGAAAGCAAUUUUAGAAUCUCAAGGUGUUGAGACCCAAGUUGUGGGAAGUGGGAGAGAUGCUCUGGAUCUCUUGGCCUCUGGGGCAACCUUCAAUCUCAUCAUCAUAGCUAUGGUACUCCCAAUCAUGAAUGGAGUUGAGGUAAGCUUAUCAUUUUUGUAUUGUGUGUGCAGCGUGUACUACAUGUUUAAUGUGUGGUAUUGUUUCACCUCUCUGGUUAAGUUUAUUAAUUUGCCAACAAUAUAAUUUAGAAAGAACAAAAUGAAUCUACCAAAGUCAUGACAUGGAUACUAAUUAUGCUUUCUACUACACACAAUUAUGGUAAACGUGCAUUGUGUAAUAUUUGUGUAAUGUGUGGUACUUUUCACCUUUCUUAUAUGUUAAUUAAUUUGCCAACAAUCUAAUUUAGAAGCAAUGUAAAGAAUCUACCAAAUUCAUUUUAAAUAAUUCUUACUAAUUAUGGUUCCUGCUAUAUAGAAGAAUCAAACUAUCAUUUAACCUUAUAUGAUUAAAUUAUUUACUAGAUCCCUAAACAUUUUCCAAUUUGUCCACACUUUUCUUUUUGUAUAUUUUAGAAAUAUAUGUUUCUCUCUCUCUCUCUCUCUCUCUCUCUUUCUCUCUUUCUCUUUUUUAAUAUUAAUGUUUUUAUAUUUUUUGUUGUCAUACUCAUGUAUUUUUUAUUCUUUAUUAUUCUUAUAUUAUAGACCACUAGGCGGAUUCGAGCAAUGGGCAUUUGUAGCAAAAUGUUGGGUGUUACUGCAUGCUCAUAUGAAAGGGAGAAGCAGGCAUUUCUGGAUGCUGGUGUGGAUGAGUUCAUUGAGAAACCGCUUACUCCUCAAAAGUUAGCCUCCAUUCUAAGAGAGAUGCGAAAUGCAUGAAUGAGAGUUGGAUUCAAUAGAGGAGUACAUCAAUGUUUGGAACACAAUCUUUGUUUUAGAAAUGCAUUUUGUCUAUUUUAAAUAUCUAGCAUGACAUGGUCACUUAUUUUGAGAACAAAUUUGGUUAAUCAAAACAUGCCAUUAGUAAAAUUAAAACCAGAAACAAAAUGUUCAUUCAUUGUAGGCCUGGUCUUCAUUUAAAAUUCCUAUGCUACAAGAAAAAAUGGGAAUGUUGGAAAAAACUCAAGCAACCACAAGGUAAAGAAGCCAACCUCCUUCAAAAGACCAGGAAACAUCAAAAGCAAAGCCAAGAUUUGCAGGAUAUUACAACAUACAAAUGGAUGGAAUGUUUGAAGAAACAAUAAAUCCAUCCAAAUGCAUAUUGGGAAAUAUUAUGUGUUGCAGCUCUUAUUAUUGAAUUUUAAUGUAGAAAAUUGGCUUUCAUUGUAUAUAAAAGUGGGACUGAUAAAGAUUGAAUACACUGCAAAACCUGGCUGGAAAAACUUGGACAAGCUAUUACCAUCCCCCAUCUUUGAUCCAUUCCAAAUUACCUAUCAUCACUGAACUCACCUCAACAGUGAUCACACAGUCACAGACCUGGAGACAAGCCAAAAAAAAGUUAGCAAGAAAUGCCUUCUAUCCACCCUCUAAUAGUGUAACAGGGUAUUCAUUGUCAGAAAAAACUGCAUGCUUUCUUUGCAAAGAAUUUCCUUCUUUCAUAUUCCUUUCAAUGAAAAAACCAGUCUCUUUAGGCUGAGAUAAUGCACCCUCACUACUCAACAUUAGAACCAUAGAAGAUAUGUUUGAUUGAUCAUCUGGAUAACAUUGAACACAUAAUGGUCCCACAUUGAGUGCACACAGCAGUUGAAAUUGAUUAUAGGCAUCCCCCAUGGACACAUUAAUCAGUUCCAAAGGCAUACCUUCCAUAUAGAGUGUCCCUGCCUACAACAUUCAAAUCAUGAUAGCAAUAGUUCUAUUGCAAUGAAAUAAAGAGAUAUUAGUUAUUACUCCUUUUGUGAGUGUUUAGCUAGAUUGACAAUUCCGGACAAAAUUCUUAAGUGUUUCUAACUCAGUUUUUCCAAAUCCUUCUUCGGACUACUUGCCUAAUGAAGAUCAAGUUAUUGAAUUUGCUAAAGAGACCAAGGUAUGCACUUGAUGUUGGAGUUGGAUCAAAUUGAAUCAACCAUAUUAUUUAAAUAUUAUUUUUCUUAAAAUAUUUUUUAAGGAGUUGGGAAGGCUUGAGAAUCAUUUUUUACCAAGUGUUCAAAAUGCUUUGUUCCAAGAUUGAUCUAAGUAUAGGUUAGAUCGAUCUAGAUCGCACUUUCUUGAUGAUAUCUUAUCCGCUGGAUCAAGGGCUUCCUUCAUUCAAAAACCUAAAACUUGCUUCCUAUUUUGUAGAGAGAAUACUAGAGAGACACAACAAUCCUCCUUUUUUGGUUUUCCUCUUCUUUCCUAAUUUGGGGUUUUGGUUGCCAAGAAAAUCCAACAUUUUUAUUGUGAUCCAAAAUUUUUUUUAAUGGAUUUUCUUGAGAAAAAAUGGGUUGAUUCCUUCAUUCAUCUCUUAAUUUCUAAACUAUUGGGUUUGGGACUUGAGUUAGGUAAAUCCUUGUACACUUACUUGUUCUUCAUGGUGGAAUUUUUUAUCAGUUGUAGGCUUGUGAUUUUUUAUCUCUUUAGAGGUUUUCCAUGUAAAUUUUGGUUUCUUAUCUCUCUUUAUCUUAUUCUAAUGCUUGAUUAAUUUUUAGUUUUAGUUUUUCAUUUAAUACUUGUGGAUAUAGAUGAAUGGAAGAACAAUGAAUGAUAUAGGAGUGAUUUUACUUGGAUAUCAUAGAUAGUUUCUUUGUUUAUUUUGGGCAAUGUUAUUCAAUAGAAUUGGAAACUUGCAUCAAUGAGAAAUUGUACUCAUGAACUGUGUGGGGGAGUGUUGAUUCAUUUACAUGUGACUUGCAUUUGAAAAUUGUUGGGGGAGUGUUGUUGCAUUCAUGUUUGCAUAUGAUCUUCACUUUGUGUUGGAAAGUGUUUGAAAAGAAAAUGAAAAAUUGUAAAAAUCUCUAAGGUUAGAUAAAUUGUGUUGGGAGACCUUUUAAAUUGGUUAAUAACACUAAUUCUCUCUCUCUCUCUCUCUCUCUCUCUCUCUCUCUCUCCCCCCCCCCCCCAGGUGUAGUCCAUCUUUGAGAUUCACUUUCACCUUUGUUUCUCUUCCUACUUAAAAUCUCUAGCACCAAAGCCCCAAAUCUAAAAACAUCUUAUUUUAUUGAGCACACUCCAUCAAUGGAAUAUUUUGGAGACAUGUAACCAAUCUAGGAGACCAUUGAAGGAAGAUAUGAAGUUACAAGCAAUAGAAAUAAACAAUUGGAAACAUUUCUAUAUGUACUUAAUAUGUUUCCACCACUUGUUUUUUUCUUGCUUCAAAUUCAUUUCCUCCAAAACAGCUAGCCAUGACAAAGUUUGAAAUUCUAGGGUUCAUCUCAUUAUCAAGUAAAACAUUAUCCCUAUGGAUUAUUCUAAACUUGGAGUCUUGAUGAAGAUAAAGAAGUCCACAAGCAAUACUAUUAAUAAUGACAAAGCAUUUAAGCCAAUCUAGUACCAUUGUUUGCACUUGAUCUAUCAAUUUUUUUAUUCAUCCAAGAUGAUCCAUUUUUCUUAUUGAAUUUUUGAAAAGUUGAAAAUAAUUCUAGAAAUUGAUUUUUUGAAAAGUUAAAAAUAAUUUUGGCAAAAAAUGAAUUAAAAAUUUUUCACGGGAGUGACUCGUGCCCAUUCUCAAUGACAAGAAAAAAAUUGUCCAGAGAGCAUGACAAGGGUAGUAGUUUUUCAUACUUGGGGUUCAAAAUCCCAAUGGUUUAUAGUAGGCCCAAAUAGACUAGAAAAAAAUGGAAGCAAACUUGGAAGCAUUUGGUCAAUCUCUAAUACAAGGAAGGAAUAUGUCUAGAGAAAUAAAACAAAAAAAUAAAUCACUAGAGCAAUAUGAGACUAUUCAUAUUGAGGUUUUAGAGAUAAACCAAAGAUAAAGAAAUCCAAUUUUUUUCUAGGCAUGUAUUUGUAGAUCAACAUUUUUUCUUCCCUAUGAAUGCGACAUCCUAGAAGCUUCACAAGAUUUCAAUGUAGAAACUUGGAUUGUUUUAUUAUUUAUUGAAUGGCGAGUUUGCCUUUGUUAUUUACCCCUUUUAUAAUUUAGGAUUUAGUGAGAAAGAGAAAAUUAAUUGUAUGAACAAUUGUAAUUAAAAGGAGAAGCAGAGCCUUCACCAUUAUAACUUUUCCAUCUUCAUUUUAUCAACGUAUUUUUUAGUGUUAGUUAGUGUGCUCCAUGGACCUAAGGAUCACACUAAUCAUUGAACCAUGUUAAAAUCUCCCAUCUUUAUUUAUUUCUACUCAUGUGUGGUUGAGUUAACAUGCCUCAAUUUAGGAAACCCACUAAAUCAAAGGCCAUUCCAUGGGAUGGAUUGAAAGAUCACAACCAAGCCACUCAUAAUGGUUUUGGAUAUCCACUAGGAUUAUGUGCCUAUGUAAAAUCAUCUUUGAGAGGGUCAUCAUUGCUCCUCUACGAAGAUAGAUACUGAUCUAGGCUUGUCACCAUGUUCUUACCAAGAUUCAUGCCUAGUAGAAGAGUGUCGCAUGGGUAAUCAAAACUCUACCAUAAGAAGUUUUUUAGGUCAUUAUCAUUUUCAUUUUUUAUGACAAUAUUUCAUAACUUCAAAAUUUGGGCAAUUGGAUUCCUUAUCGACCACAAUGAAUUAGAAGACUAGAUGAUUUUAUUAGAACCAUUAAGAAUCACAAGAAUCCUUUGUUUGAUGAUGUCCUUUAAGGUAAUAUCUUGUUAUUUUAUGUCACCUGACAAUUUUGAGUUAAAAAAAUUUCUAAUAAAGCCAAAAUUGAAAAAUAAAAAAUGUAAAAUUAGGAACAUGCAUGAAAUUUGGAUGGGAGAAUUUUAAGAAUUUUAAUGGUCAAACAAAUGAGUUGAAUUUGUACCACAUUAAUGUUAUUAUAGAGAGUUUCUUAAGAUAUUAGAAUUAAUAAUUUUGGAUUUGAAGAAUUAAUUAUGUUGACAAAAAUAUAGAUAUAUGGUUUAGUAUUAUUAGCAGUCAAACUUUAUUGAAGAAUGAGAAGUAUAGAUUGUUGAUAUUUUUAUUGAAGUUAGAUUGUUGAAGUUUAGAAUUUGAAUGCUAUAAUGGAAUACCAAAACAUCAGUUACUACAACAAUGCUAGAAUGCCAUUUGAGUUUGCACCAAUUUACAAAUCAAUGAGGGACUACCUCGCACCCAAGCCUACAUGAGAUUUUACAUCAAGAAGAAAUCUCCUAAAUUCUUGGCCUACUCAAAAGUAUUAAUGAGAAAUUAUCUGCACAAUGAUUUUAUAAAUUUUUAUUGAUGUUAAUAAAAAAUAAUGCUAGAAAAAAUCAAAAUUGUCCUUCAUUGAUAAUUUUAACUCAUAAAAAUUGAAGACAAACUAUUUAUGUUCAAUUUUGAGACUAUUGAAUUGUGUUAAUGUUAUAUUAUACAUUGCAUUUGCAUCAUAGCUGUGUUAAUAUGUUAGAUAUAUAUAUAUGGCAAAAAAUAAGGCCAAUAGAGAGAGCAAAUUAAAAAAGAAAUGAGAUCUCUAAUAUGAAAAACAUAAAAAUUUACCCUGAAAAGACUCCAAAUGAGAAGUGCAUUUGGGUAUGGACAUACAUCAUUUGAUGAAAGCCCAACAAUAAUAGUACAUUAUAUGAUUGGGUGUAUCCAUUUCCAUUUUCUAUUAAUUAGCAAGAUCUAUAUAUUUUAUAUAUUUGGGUUAAAAUAAAACAUUUGUUUAAUGUUUGAAUGCUUAUUUUCAUGUAGUUUUAGCCUUUGAUUAUUACUUAUUAACCCUCUUCGGUGCACACUGAGCAAUGUGGAAAUGCUCAUCUAUUUCUCUUCUUUUUUUUUUAGUUGCAUGUAUUAUUCAUGAGGACCCAUUGGUGGAUCAAGAGGGUUUCAAAAUGUCUUAGGAGGUUUAGGAGUUGCUUAAAAAUAUUGAUGUUUAUUUGUGUUAAAAUUUUGGAUAUUUACUAAUGGAAUUUGAAUAUAUGUAAUUUAAUUAUACUUUGGUUUGUAAUGAACAAAAUAUAGGAACACUUGAUUUAGAAAUGAUGUAGAGACUUGGAUGAUUAUCUUAGGUGAACAAGUAAUAAGGUAUUAACAGCAUUUAUUGGCUAGUGAAAGCUAAUGGUAAAAAAAGUAAGUUUGUUUAAAAUUAAAUUGUGAUAAUCCCAGUAUAAGAAAAAAAAUCUGAGUUAGACAAGUUGAUUACCAUAUUAGAUGAGAGUAACCCUUAGGGUCAAACCUUUGACUAAGGGUCAUGGGUCAAGUUAUAGGUUGCUUGGAAUUUGAUUCGUGAGAGCAUGGUAUCAAAGCCAAGGUUGCAAUAAUACCUUGGCUUGGGAUAGUAUUUAUGUGUAUAGUUUUGUUUAUUCAUUUUUUUUAUGUAUUUAUUUAAUUGUCUAUAUGCUCAUUUAUUUAUUUGUUUGUGACUUGUGUUUGAUAAUCUUUUAUGGUAGUGUUUGUUGGUGGUAAUAAGAUGCGAUACCAUAAUGAUUGUGAUGGAAUAAAUGCCUUAUUAUUAUAUGAAAAUUUUCAUAGAUUUGUUAGAUUAUUUUGUGUAUCUAUUUUUCUCAUCUUGAAGUUUGAUUGGAUUAGGUUUUGUCUAGUAUUUGAAAUGAUGAGUCGGCCAAGAUGAGAGAAAAUAGAGAAACAUAAGGAAAAGGAUUUAGUUAGAGAAAAACUAAGAGCAGCAACAAGGGAACUAUAAUAAACUACGCUAAGAGGCCAAACAUAGGCCCCUAAAUUUUUCUUGACCCAUUAUAAUGUAAUCCCACCCCUAGACCCCUACACAUGGUGCAUCAUCUUGGCUCAUUUUUGGCUCAUUCCAUAUUGGCACAAAUUAGGCCCUCUUGCUCUUAGUCCAUACAUUUUUUAUUUAUAUUAUUUUAUUUUAGCUCAUUACACUUUUAUCUUUAUUUUCAUUGCAUUUAUUUAUUUUUUAACUUUCAAUUUGCAUUUUAAAGAAUCAUGUGUAGAAAAAAAAAGGUGUGAUUUCAUUGGGACUUUUAAAGCGAAAAAUUAGAAUUUAAAAAGGAAGUCAGAAUUUUUAGAAAGGACUUUCAGCAAAACAUUGCAGCAAAAUUUUUUGUAAGGAAGACUUUGAGUAGAAAAUUUUUUUCAAGGAAGACUUUGAGUAGAAAUUUUUUAAGGAGACCUUUAGCUGAUUUUUUUUUUUUUUUGAGAAAAUAAAGUAUAAUAUUUUUUAGGAAACACAAUACACCCCUACAAAAAAUUGAAAGUAUAAUUUUUUUAUUGGGGUAAGAAAUGUAGAAUGAAGAAUUUUCUAAGGGCCAAGAGGGAAAUUUUUUUUUUUCGUCCCUCUCUUUUCCUUCUUCAACAAGAUAUCCACAUGCUACUAUCUAUCAAUACUCCUCCACUAUCACUAUCCACUUGCCAUCGAGGAAUUAAAAGUGACAUUACAACGUAGCACCUCUACCCCAUCGUCGCCAAAGAUGGUUCAAAGUGUCAACCGAUAUUAGUAGAUAUCACCAUAUCACUGAGUUGUAUCUAUCUUGGUCUUGGCUGCAAAGAGUCCCAUACCUGAGUUGGUAUCAGUGGGACCAACAAUAAUUCAAUCAACUCAAAUAUGAAUCCUUUAACCAACUCAUGGUACAACUUGAACUUACAACACAAAAAAUUCAAACUAAUUCAUUUUCAAAAUAAUCAUUCUUACCAAUAACCUUUUAUCAUUUUAUUUUUAUUUUUAGGAUAUAUCAUUAUUAAAAAUUGGUACUUGAUGUAAAAACGAAUAUGGUAGUGUUUCAAAAAAUUUAAGUUCUCAUAAACUAAAAUAGAUAAUAUUAAAUGUGAUAGUUGUUAAUUUAUUAAUUUAUUGAGUAUAUCUAAUUAUAAUUAUUUUUCUAAGUUUUUUAUUAUUUAUUUUAAGUUUUUUUGAAAUUUUAACUAGCAUAUUGUGCAUAUCAUUUAAUAUUGAUUUGAGAUAUCAAGAUGAAUAUGCCUUAAGACUUGCUAAGUUGGCAAUCGAUACUAUGACUUUGAAUCAUGUUUUUGUUAAGGUUGAAGUCAUCUCACAUCAGAAAAAGGUAAAAAGAGGAAGAAAGAGGGGGAUGGGUGAGAGAAGCUUUCUUGUGCUAUAAAAGAAAUCCUCCACCCCCUACAUUAUUCAUCCAUAAAAAAAAAGGUUUUCAUCAUUUUGUAAGCUUUUAUGUCCUCUCCUCCUAAUUGAGAGAAAGGUUAUAAUUUUGUCUUCAUAGUGAAUAUUUUUCGAUUUUGCCCCGUGGAGGUUUCCCUCAUAAUUAAAAAGAUUUUACCUUGUAAGUGAUUUUGGCCAUUUUUUAUUUAUUGCUCUAUUUGUUUAAUUAUUAUAUUUUCCAAUUAUUACUAUGAGUAUCACUUCAUAAUAGUGGUAUUAGAGUCUAGGUUUAGAAUAGUAGGUGGUUAUUUGUGUGGUUAAUACAUGUUUAGGAAAGUUUUAUCAAAAGGACAAUAAGAGCAUAAGGAAAGUGGGUUUUAAGUGAGGCCAUUGUGACCCCUCCACUUUCUUGGGGACUUUCUUGGUAUAUUUAACAUAGACACUUACUACUAUCCUAGGUUAUUGUUCAAUGUAAAAGUAAAACAAAUAGCAGUGAAAUUUGAAAUAGAAAAGUUCAAUGGAAACAAUUUUGGGCUAUGGAAAAUGAAAAUGAAUGCUAUCUUAAGGAAGGAAAAUUGCCUAGAAGCAAUUGGUGAAAGUCUAAAAAAUGUUGAAGACAAAAAGUAAAAGCAAAUGAAUAGGGAUGUUGUUUAAAAUUUGCAUUUAGUAGUAGCAGAUAAUAUAUGGUCAAGCAUCUUAGAAUUAUAGUCAACAAAAGAAAUUUAGGAUACUUUGACAAAACUAUAUGAAGUCAAGUUGUUGCACAAAAAAAAAAAAAAAAAAAAAAAAAAAAAAAAAUCCUUGAAAACAAAACUUUACAUUAUUUGGAUGUCAGAAUCUAAUUCGAUGAUUGAACAUAUCAACACCCUAAAAACUUUGUUCUCUCAACUAUCAGCUAUAGAGCACAAUAUAGAAGAGAAGAAACGUGUUGAACUUCUGUUCUAAAGUUUGCUUGAUUCAUAUGAUCAUCACAUCAUAAAUGUGGUCAAUGGUGAUUUAAGGACAAUGUUAGUCUUUAAUGAUGUUAUGAUUACUAUACUUAAGGAAGAAAGUAAGGAUUAAAACAAAUAAGAUAGAAUAUCAUCUUCUCAAUAAAAUGAGGCUCUUAUUAUUUCUAUAGGAAGAUCAACGGAACAUGGUUCUAGUGGGAGUCAUAAAUAGAACAUGUUAAAGUCUGGGAGUAAGAAGAAAGUUAAAUGUUAUCAAUGUGGAAAGCAAUGGCACAUAAAAUAAAUAAAUAAAUAAAAUAUCGGCAUUACAAAAGAGGGGUAGAGAAAAACAGGAAAAGAAAAUAAUCUACGCCAUCAAAUACUCAAAGUUGUGUAAUAAGCACUUUAGAUGAAGAUGAAAUCUUGUAUAGUAAGGAAACAACCGUAGAAGGUAGAAAAAAAUUGUUAAAGUUUGGUUAAUUAACUUAGCAGUAGCAUGGCAAAUGACUUUUCAUAGAGAAUGGUUUCACCAAUAUGAACCGAUCUCAAGAGGACUAGUGUACAUGGGUAAUGAUCGUGCCUCAAAGAUUAUUAACAUUGGCUCCAUCAAAGUAAAGAAGGAUGAUGGUUUAAUUCACACUAUUCUAGAGGUACUAAAUGUGAAGGGCUUAAAGAAGACUCUACUAUCAAUAGGGCAACUAGAUGACCUUGGAUAUGAAUUUCAUGCUAAAUAAGAAAUCAUGAAGGUAAUUAAAUGUGCACUUGUGGUGAUGAAGACAAAGAAAAUUACUGAAAAUCUAUACAUACUACAUGAGAGGACAUAUAAGCAUAGACUUUUAUUGUAAAUUCUAGAGAAGACUUGAUGAUGAGGUGAAUCAGAAAAAAGAUUGAAAAUCUUCUCUAAUUAAAGUUGCUUCCUAGACUCAAAACUUUAAGUUUAUCAUUCUAUGAGCACUAUGUUAUUAGUAAGCAACAUAGAUUAAGAUUCAAUAGAUCUACUAAAAGAAGUAAAGACAUUAUAGACUUGGUUUAUUCUGAUGUUUGGGAAUCAUUUGUCACAUCUCUUAGGGGGGCAGACUAUUUGGUGUUAUUUGUAGAUGAUUACUUCAAAAGAUGUUGGGUGUACCCCAUUGAGAGAAAAUCAAAUGUUUCUCCGGUAUUCAAAGCCUUUAAAGUGCAUAAGGAGCUUGAAAUGGGAAAAAAGAUUAAAUGUUUGAGGAUAGACAAUAGAGGAGAAUUUUGUAGCUAGGAGUUUGAUGUAUUUUGCAGUCAAGAAGGUAUACAAUGAAAAAACAUUGUUACUUAACUCCACAACAAAAUGGCAUAGUAGACCGAACAAAUAAAACUCUCAUAGAAAGAAUGAGAGCAAUGUUAAAGACUGUGGAAAUACCCAAAACGUUUUAGGCUAAAGUAACCAAAACCAUUUGCUAUAUAAUUAAUAAGCCUCUUUUAAUAGUAAUCGAGAUGAAGACGCCUAGGGACUAGUAAGCGGGUGGACUAUUUCUCUUUACACAUAUUUGGGUGUCCUACUUAUUUGAUGUAUAAUGACUAAGAAAGAACAAAGUUGGAUCUAAAAUCCAAAAAAUGCUCCUUCUUAAGGUAUAUUGAUCAAGUAAAGGGGUAUUGUCUAUGGAAUCCCAUUACCUGCAAGGUUACCAUUAGUAGAGAUGAAAUCUUUAUAGAAGACAUGUUACAAAGUGAAGAAGGAGAUAACACAUUGAUGAAAAAUAUAGAUACUAUAAGUUUUAUUGAAAACAAAUAGUUAGAACAAAGAACAACCAAAAUCUUUUGAAGUAGUUCUAGAGCUAUAUAAACAAGUACCAGUUAAGUUUGAGACAACUAAAGUGCAACAAUCAAUCAAAGAAAAAAGAAAACCUUCAUACCACUCAGAGUUUGUUAUGGCAACUGAUGUUGCUCAUUACAAAAGAUGAAGAGCCUUCAAAUUAUAGGAGAUCAUAAACUAUUCAGAUUCAUCUUUAUGGAUGACAAUAAUGCAAGAGGAGGUUGAAGCCUUACAUAAGAACCAAAUUUGGAAACUUGUACCACUACCACCUAGAAGAAAAACUAUUAGAAACAAGUGGCUCUAUAAGUUCAAAUGUGAUAACAAUGACUAAGUAGAGCGAUAUCGUGCAAGACUGACGAUUAAAGGAUACACUUAGAAAGAAGGUGUUGAUUUCAACAAGAUAUUUUUCUCUAGUUGUUCGGCUUACAUCAAUUCAAGUAGUCUUGGCUAUGUGUGCUAGAUUUGAUUUACACAUUGACCAAAAAAUUGCAUUUCUUCAUAAAGAGCUUAAAAAAGAAAUUUAUAUGCUCCAAUCGGAAGACUUUGAAGAAAAUAGGAAGAGAACUUGAUUUGUAAGUUAACCAAAUCUUUAUACGACAUAAAACAAGUGCUAAAAUGUUGGUACAAGAGAUUUGAUUCCCUUAUAUUGAGUCUUAGGUACAAUAGACUCAAUUCAAAUCAUUGUAUAUAUUAUAAGAGGUUUGAUGGUGAUGAUUUUAUUAUAUUGUUAUUGUACGUGGAUGACAUGUUAGUUGUAAGCCUUAACAAAGAUCGAGUCUAAGAAUUAAAGGCACAAUUGGUUAGGAUGUUUGAGAUGAAGGAUCUAGGACUAGUAAACAAGAUUCUAGGAAUGCAAAUUCACUGAGAUAAACAAAGUAGGAAGAUUUGGCUCUCACAAAAAAUCUAUUUGAAGAAAAUUUUACAUCGCUUCAACAUGCAUGAUUGUAAGACACUUUCUACCCCAUUUUUUAUGAAUUAUAAAUUAUCCUCAAGUAUAAGUCCUAGUAAUUAAGUAGAGAGGAUGGAACUAUCUUGAACACCGUAUGCAUCAAUAGAAGAAAACUUAAUGUUUGUUAUGAUUUGUAUAAGACUAGACAUUGCAUAAGUAGUAGGAGUAGUAAGUCAAUUCAUGGCAAAUUCAAGGAGAAAACACUAAAAUGUAGUUAAGAGGAUUCUUAGAUACAUCAAAGGGACGUCAAAUGUUACAUUGUGUUUUGAAGGAUCUAAAUUCAUCAUCAAAGACUAUGUUGAUUCAGACUUUGCAAGUGAUUUUGAUAAAAGGAAAUCUACUACGAGUUAUGUGUUCACUCUUACAAGAGUAGUUGUGAGCUGGGUUUCAAAACUCCAAACUAUUUUGACUCUAUAUACAAUAGAAGCAGAGUAUAUGGUAGCUACAUAAGCUUGCAAAAAAAGUUAUCUGGAAAAAAAGGUUAUUGGAGGAGUUUGGGCAAAAAAAAAAAAAAAAGAUUUCCUUGUUCUAUGAUAGUCAAAGUGUCUUGCAUAUUCCAAGGAAUCUAGUCUUUCAUUCCAAGAUUGAGAAAAUAUGGGUUCAAUAUCACUUUGUUCGAGAAGUGGUGAAAGAAGGAAUUGUGAAUAUGAAAAAGAUCCAUACAAAUGAAAAUCUAGCAGAUGCCUUGAUAAAACCAAUAAAUACUGACAAAUUUAGUUGGUACAAAUCCUCUUAUGGCUUGGAAAUAACAUAAGCAACAUGUGAUAGGGAAAUACAUGGAAGAAUGACUUCAAGUAGGAGAAUGUAAAGGUUGAAGUCAUCCUACAUAGGAAAGAGACAAAAAGAAAGGGACCUUCAUGAUGCUAUAAAAGAAGACCUCCACCCCUUACAGUAUUCAUCCCAAAAAAACCUCCUUCUAAUUGAGAGAAAUGUUGUAAUUUUGUUUUCAUAGUGAAUAUUUUUCGAUCUUGCCUUGUGAAGGUUUCCCUUCUAAUUAAGAGGGUUUUAACAUGUAAGUAAUUUUUUCAAUUGUUUCAUUUAUUAUUUUAUUUAUUGCUUUAUUUUCUUUUUAUUAUUCCAUUUCCAAAUUAUUGUUGUAGGUAUCAUUUCAUAACUUUGGAAGGUCAUCCAUGGCCUUCUAUGUUGACAGGAACCCAUUAAACCUAUUACUAUGUUUCAUUCUAAUUUCAUGCCUUGUAGAAGAGUAUUGCAUGGAUAUCAAAACUCCGCCAUAGGAAGUUCUCUAGAUCACUAUCAUCUCCAAUUAUCAUGGCAUAAUUUUUAAAUUCCAAAAGUUGAGCAUUUGAACUUUCUACAUGAAUGUAUUACAAUACAAUGCUAUUAAGAACACCGAGAAUGGAAAAAGUCAUUGGUCCAUGACCUUUAAAAUUCCUUAUAAAUUAGCUCAGUGGGAAUUAUACUAGUCUCCAUAAACACUUUCUUGCAUCAUAUCCCUAAGUUUGAAUUUGUGGAAUUCUCUAGGCUAAAAAACCCUAGUUUAAAGCUUCCAACAAUUACAAUGAAUAUCACACCAUCUACAAUGAGUUGAUUUAGGGUUGACUUGCAUAUAACAUGACAAUUUUGGUUUGUUGGCCAUGAUCAAUCAAUCAUUAUUCCUAGAUAUAUAUAUACUAGCAUUAAGUGGCAUAUAUUCCCUUCAAAUAGACAAGAAAAUAAAUCCCAAUUUAUGGCUAGAAUCUACUUAAAUACCAUAUGUUAGCCUCACAAAAUAAUUAAGCACAUGUUGUUUGUGGUCAUAUUUUUUUUUCUUUUAUUGAUUUUGACAUGUUAAGAUUGUAAUCUCAUUAAAUUAUUCGAGAGAGAAACCAAAACCCAUUACAGCAUAAAUGAAAUAUAAAAAAAAAAGACCAAAAACAGAGUCAAGAUUUCCCUAAAAAAAAAAAAUGCUAGUAAUUAGUAUUUUUGAAAAUAAUAGCUUUUAUUACAUGGUCAACUUCUAUUAUUGAAAUUAUAUACUAUGAAUAACCAUCACCAUCCAUACAAAAGGCAGUAGCAAAGAUUGCAUACCUGAUAAUAUCUUAGAUGAGUCAAAGUUGAGAGAAGUUUCCAAAAGUAGUUGAAACUUAAGUUUAUAUGGUCACAAGUCUAAAAAUAACAAAACAUCAAAAUGAUACAUCUUCUAUCGUGCUUCCAACUGUGUGAUGGUGCACUGAGUACUAGAAGAAGAAUUUGCUUCCAUCAUAUUCCUAUCAAUGAAGAAACAAGGCUCUUUGGGUUGAUAUAGUGCACCCUCACUACCCAACAACAAAACCACAGAAUGCAUGUUUGGUCGAUCAUAUGGGAAUCGUUGCACACAUAAUAGACCCAAAUUGAUUGAACGUAGCACUUCCGAUAGAUUGCAAGUGUUCACGAUUGAUGCAUCAAUAAAUUCCGAAGACCUACCUUCUAUAUAAAGUGUCCAUGCCUAGACAGUUUAAAAGAGGAUUAGCACUACUUUUAUAUAUUGAAAUAAGGAAACAUUACCAAAUACUUACAUGCCCAAGAAGAUUAAGCUCAUGGUCUGGGUGGUUAAAACCUCUGUUUCUCUUCCCGCUUAUAAUCUCUAGUACCAAAACACCAAAGCUAAAAACAUCGGAUUUUGUGGAAUACAAUCCUUCACUUGCAUACUCUGGAGACAUAUAACCUCUGUAGGAAGCCAUUGAAGAAGAGGUUGAAUUCACAAGCAACAGAGAUAAGAUUAUAUACACAUCACUAGAUAUACUUACAAUGUUCCAGCCACUCUUGUUGUAUUUGCUUCAGUUUCAUUUCCUCCAAAACUUCUUGCUAUUCCAAAGUCCGAAAUUUUGGGGCUCAUUUCAUCAUCUAGUAAAAUGUUUUCAGCUUUGAGGUCUCUAUGGAUUAUCCUGAGUCUGGAAUCUUGAUGAAGAUAAAGAAGGCCUCGAGCAAUCCCAUUGAUAAUGAGGAAGCGUUUAGGCCAAUCUAGUAUGAUGCUUUGCAUUUGACCUGUUCAUUUUUUUAUCAUUCAAAUUAACUUGUUCUACUACUUAGAGAGUUGAAUAUAAAUGAAAAGAUUGCUAAGAAACAAAUGAUUUCAAAUUCCAUGAGAGUUGUUUAGAGCAAUGACAUGUAAAAACAAAAAGGAGUAUGAUUGAAACUCAUUCUUAGUGAUUAAAGAACACUGUUAAGGACACACAAAUGGAUAAUGGAUCUUAAUGGUAGGGAUCCAAACCCAUAGUUUUUCAUAUAAGAUCCAAAAGAUUAUAGAAAAUAGAAGUAAGAAAGAUUUUCCAUAUUAAUACAUCUAUUCUUUAUCUUGGUCCCAACAAUUUUUCUUUAGGAUCGGUCAAAUCUAUUAUAAAUAAAGAAUUUUCCUAGCAUAUGCAUAGGACAGGAGAAAAAAAAAAACAAAAACCACUCAAGUAGAUAAAGAAACUAAAUAGUGGUAUUAGAAAGCCAAACCAAAAAUGAACAGGUCCAAGCUUUUGUUGGGCAAGUAUUCGUAUAUCAACAUCCUUUCUCUGCCAUGAAUGCAACAUCCAAGAAGCUUUACAAGAUUUCGAUGUUGAAGUUUUGCAAUGGAUUCAACUUCAUUUUUGAACUCUUUUAAUCCUUGUCUAGAAGUUUUUGACAUCAUCUUCACUGCUAUUUCUUGUCCCUCUUGCAAUUUUCCCUAAAAAUAUAAAAUUCUUUUUAUUCCAAAGCUUUGCGUAUUAAAUGAAACUUGUCAAUAUUCAAAAUGAGAAGCCCUAAACAAAUUAGUGGCACAAAAAUAUUAGCACAUGUACUGGUUUCAAGACAUUAAGGCAUAUAUCUAAAUGUGGUUUCAUUUAGAUACUAUGAGGAUUGAGGACAUCAAUAACUUCUCAAAAACUUGUAAGUUGUUGUAGGGUAUACCCUUACCUUGUAAACAGGUCCAAAACCACCCUCUCCAAGCUUAUUGUCACUCGAAAAGUUAUUAGUGGCAUUCAAUAAUGUAUCCAAGUCAAAUAAUGAUAGCUCUAGAUGCUUCCAACCUUCAUUGGUUUUACCUCCUUUUGAAUUGUGUUCAAUGUAUCCUAAAAAAUGGAGAAUGGAAUGAAGAAUUAAAGAAUGCAUAAAUCCUAUAUACAGAAACCAUGAACUUGAUCUAUUUCCAAGACUAGAUCAUUUCUACAUUUAUCAAAAUAAGCUAGGUCAAUCUCUUGCUCCUUUUUUUAGUAAUACAUAAUCAGAUAACAUGUGGAAGUACUUCUAACUAAUACACUUAGUGAUACAAGCAUUAUAAUUUGUUACUUACCUUUUCUCCUUAGCUGCUUCUUCCUUUUCAGCACAUACAAGGUUAAGACCAGACUUAAAAGAACUAUUCCUGUAAUUGAUAUAGAGAUGACAAUGGCUUGCUUUUUCUUCUUCUUGGAGCUGCUAUUUUUUCUUGAAAAAACAUCUUGACACAGAUGGAAAGAAAUUAAGCAGGAAAGCCAAGAAAUAAAAUAGAAAAACCAUAAAUUCCUAUGAGUAGUAACCACUAAUCCAAAAUAUAUUUGUAGUUUACAACCAUGAAAGUAGGAGUUCAAGGAACUGUAGUUUUCAUAGGAUUUAAGGGCACAAAUCAGUUGGUGUAUUACUGUGUUAUAGCAUCUGCUACACAAUAAUUGAAAUCUAAAAGAAAAUAUUCCAACUUUUGAGUAGACCUCUGUUUUACACUCUAGUCUUCAAAAAAUAAGAGUCCAUUUGGAAAAUGAUUUUAGGAUGCACUUUUAACCUAAAAAGUGUUUUUGAAAAAACAUUAGAUGUUUGCCAAAAUUUAGGAAAUAUUUUUAAAAUUUUGAAAAAUCACUUGUAGUAUGGAAAAAUCACUUGUAAUAUUUUCUAGAGAAACACUUGAUAUGUGAUUCUCAUAAAAACACUCAUGAGAAAACACUCCAAAACACACUCUAAGUAUUUUAUUCCAUGAAAUAAUGUGCUUAGUAAUUGGUCUCAGAUUUUUCACACUAGCAACAAUUGAGACAGAGGCAAAGCUUUAAGCCGCAAAAUCAAGGGAUAAAACUAGAGGCACAAAUGCAAGGUGAAAAAUUAAAAACCUUUGAAUAAAUAUACCAUGAAAUUUGUAUCAGAUUUAUGUUUCUCAAGUAAGAAAAAGAAAAGUUCAUACCUAAUUCUGAUGUAGCCAUCCUUACGUAAAACUCUUGCCCAUUUUGAGUGAAUUCUCUGAUGUCAAUCAAGUCACCAAGCCAGAGCAAGCAUCCACUUCCUCCUCCUCUGAUAUCUGAAUUUGCAUAAGCAGUGCAAGUGCACUUCCUCAAACACAGGGAAGCACAUUCCUUAAGGUUCAUGCUUACAUUAAACCAGGAGGUCUGCGUGUCUGGCAGUUUCACAUCAGAGAACUUUGCAAAUCCAUCACCCUUCUGACAAUCCAAUGGAGUAUUUGGAACACAUCCAUGGGACCAAUCUGCCUCGUCCCAUUUGCUUUGGAACUUUGGCCUAAAUCCUUUCAUACACUCACAUUUUGGAGAUUGGUCAAUCUUACAGAUGCCAUAUGCUCCACAAAAUGCAUAAUUGUCACAGUCAUCCCUCUGUGCAGUUGAGUAAAGAGUCCAUCCAGUGUUUUUAUCAGUCCAUUUUAACUUCCGUAGAGAACCAUCAGGAUUUAACACAUGCCUCAAAAUAACAGAGCUAUGAACAGUAUUAUAAAAUAUAUAUACCUCCUUUUCAUUAGAAACGAAGUUAAAUGUGUAAACUGAGUUGUUUGUUAAUUGAGGUAUUCCACUAUAUCGAACACCAUUCCAUGGUCCAGCACGAAAGUUUAUUACAAAACCAUUCCUCAAAACUAGUUGUGGAAAUCCAUUUAGAUCAAUCUCACAAGUGAAAUUACCUUUAGAAGGGUCAUCGGCACUCUUCCAUGAUGACAGGUACCAAUCAAGGCCUGUUACUCUGUUUCUUCCAAGCUUCAUACCUGGUAGAAGAGUAUCGCCUGGAUAAUCAAAACUCUGCCAUAGGAAGUUUUCUGGGUCACUAUCAUUGCCAUUUCUCAUAACAAGAUUUCCAGAUUCCAAAAGCUGAGCGUUUGGAUCCAGUGCAGAAUGUGAUGAAUUAGAAUUCCAAAGAAUUCCAUUAGUAUCGUUGACCAGAACAAGAAUUCCCUGCUGAGUGACUUUUAAAACACCUGAUGAAUCAGUUAGUGGACUUUCUCUAUUGGCAACCCAUACCACUGUCCGAGGAGCCACUUUCUUGUACCAUAUCCCCAAGUAUCGAUUCUUGGAAUUACCUGGACUGAAGAAACCCAAUUCAAAGGUCCCACCUGCUGAAGUGAUGGUCUCACCGUCUCUAAUGUGUUGAUUUACAGUUAUGGUGUCUACUGCAAUAGAGAUUCUUAUGAGGGAGAAUACAUAGGAGAAGACAAAUACAACAGUUCUAAGAGCAUUCAUAGUUGUUCCUAGAUAAGGAAUGCCUGAGAUUUUAGGUGUUUUUCAUGUCUCCUUAUAUUUUUCUUCCCCCUGUAAGAUUUGUCACACAUUUCUUCAUACAUCAAAGUCAAUGUAACUUUCCAUUGGUCAACCAUAACUUGGGAAAUCUAUUCAUUCCAUUUUUUUUUAUUUGUAUUCUAUGGUGUGGUCCCUUGAGUUGAAUAUAUGAAUUAACAUCGCAUCCACAUCCAAAUUUAAUUUUCCAUACCUUUGAAAAUGGACAAGGGAUUAGUUUAUACUACUUAGUAUGGCCAAUCUUAUCUCUUCUUUAAUUAGAAGCAUUACAAGUUGAAGUAAGGACCAAUAACAUAUUUUAGGUGUUUUCCAAGUCUCCUUAUAUUUUCCUUUCCCUCCUAAGAAUUGGCAUUGGGUUUGAUUUGUUUGACUUAGAGAAGAACAUUACCUCCACAUAUGUGCCUAUCAGUAACAUCCAUCGUUGGACUCAUUAUCCAAUGGUCAUCAUCUUCUCCUGCCUCCAAAUUUGAUUUUUCUAUACCUCUUAAAAUGGACUAGGUAUUAGUUUAUCCCUUUGAAUCUAAUAUCCUAGAUUACAACAAUAUAUGACCAAUUUCACCUUUUCUUUAGAGCUAUGUUUUGUUCAUGGAAAGUAUGAAGAAAAGAAAAAAAAAAAAAAACUGUGGAGGGAAAUGGUUUUCUCAUGUUUGGUUUCAUUGUGGAAAAUAUGAAAGAAAAUCAAAAUUAAUUUAAAUUAGUUAGAAAUUCAUGCAUCUUAAAAUUAUUUAAUCUUUAUAUAAUGGAGGAAAGUAAGUAAAAUGAGUUUGAAAAAGCAUAUAAAAAUAAUUUAUUGACUUUGAUUUUUUAUUUUUUAUUUUUCCUUCACUCUUUUUUCUUGACAUUUUUUCUCCCUAUUUUCUUUUUCUCACAUUUUUUCUUAAAUUUUUCAAGAACCAAACAUAACCUAAAAGAAUUACUAGUUGAAGUAAAAAAGACCAAGAACAAAAUGAAUGUUGUAGCAACCCUCUUUCCUUACCAAAGUUUACAGGAUAGGUUAGUUACAACUCACAGCCACUGGUAGGAUUGAAAAUAAAAAUGCAUACAAGGAAUACUGAAGAGUAGCUUUCAUGACUUGUCAUGAUGUGCUAGGAAGACUUUUGGACUGACUAAUUAGCCCAAAAGAUGCCCACUGGCUACCAUUAUUUGGAGUAUCUUGAGAGAAUGUUUCCAUAUCCAUUGGCAAUCUUUGCACCACUUUCCGAUGCCAUUAUAUCCCUCAUCUCUGUAGCCAUAAUAUCUAAUCAAGCAUGGACCAAGUUAGCAACCUUGUAUGCCAAUCAGUCUAAAGUCCGAAUCAUGGAUCUUAAGGACAAGCUUACCUAUGCAAAUAAAGGAGACAAAACCAUUACUGAGUACAUGUAUAUAGUGCACAAUGGAUGGAUUGGCUCUUGUCAAUGUUCAUAUUAAUGAUGAUGAUGUUACUUCAUGUUCUUCAUGGUCUUAGGAAGGAGUCCAAAGAUGUUUGCACUAUAGUUUGAAAUUGUAAGUUCUCAUGACCUUUGAAGAGCUUCAUGAUGCAUUGAUUGAACAUGAAAGGUCCCUUAAAGAAAAAGAAGCUCUCUCAAAAGACUCACCUUUCACUACCAAUUACUCUCAAAGAUCAAGGGAGCCCACCAAUCUCUAAUCCAAGGGAUCAUACAAUAAAGGUAUCAAUCUAAAGGCACCAUGAACCCAACUUCUGAUUGUGAGCAUGGACAUCAAAGCUGUAAUCAGAACCACUCCAAGCCUCAAUCUAAUAUGGUGUGUCAAUUGUGACAAACCUGGCCACAAUGCCAAACACUACUACCAAAUUUGAGGGUAUUCACCUAAAGCACCAUAAGCAAAUUAUACCACUCAAAUUAGGUCAAAUCCUUACCAUUGGUUGACUGACUCUAAGGCAUUACACCAUAUCACUUUCAACCCCAACAACUUGGGAAAUCAUUCUAAGUUUAACGGGAAUGAUGAUUGUUGGGAAACCUAGAUUGCUCUAUUCCUGGACCCAAAUCAUGUAGGGUGCAUGCAUUUAUCCCUAAGGCUCUUUAUAUCUAACAAAACAUAAAAACAUGGUGUCAAAAGCUAAUAUGAUUAAAUCUAGAGAAUAUUGAAAGGUAGAGGCAGACAUUUCUGGAUGAUCAAAUCUCUGGCAUAACAUGGUCACUUAUUUUGAGAACUAAUUUUAUGAAUCUAAACAUGCCAAUGGUAAAAAAUGGUUCAUUCACUGUAGGCUUAGCCUUCAUUUUUGGAUGUUCAUACUUUGAUUAAACCAGGAAUCCUGCCUGUCCGGGAGUUUCAUACCAGAUCACUUUACAACCUGUCGCUUAUCUGAUGAUCCAGUGGAGUAGUCCUUCCAUACACUCACAUUUUGAAAGGCUUCAUGAUAACUGAGCUAUUAACAAGCUCAUAAGUAGAUACAUCUCCAUUUCUUCAAAAGAAAAAGGAAAAAAAAAGGAAGCAUAUGUAUAAACUGGGUUUGGUGUUAAUAGAGGAAACCCACUAAAUCGAACGCCAUUCCAUUGUUAAGUGUGUUGCAUGGACAAUCAAAACUCUGCCAUGGGAAGUUCACUAUUAUUUCAAAUUUUAUGACAAGAUUUUUAAAUUAAAAAAUCUGAGCAUUUGGACUCUGCAGAAUGGAUUAUGCUAUUAGCAACACCCGGGAAUGGAAAGAGUUCCUUUGAAUUCCUAUAAAUUGGCGGAGUGGGAAUUAUACCAGUCUCCAUAGACACUUUCCUGUAUCAUAUCCCUAAAGUCUGAAUUUGUGGAUCGAAUUAUCUGGGCUGAAAAACCCCAGUUUAAAGUUGCCACCUGCUCCAAUGAUUAUCUCACCAUCUAUAAAGAGCUGAUUUACUGUUGACUUAAUAGAAUAAGACAAUUUUGGUUGGUUGACCAUGAUCAAUCAUUCAUUUUCCCUGGAUAUAUAUUCUAGCAUUAGGUGGCAUACAUUCCCUUCAAAUAAAUAACAAAAUCAAUCCCAAUUUACAGCUAGAAUCUACUUAAAUAUCACAUGUCAGCCCUACAAAAUAAUUAAGCACAUUAGUUAUUGUUUGUAGUCAUGUUUUUCCUUUUUGUUUAUUUAUUUUUAUUUUUACUUGAUUAUGGCAUGUUAAGAUGGGUAAUCUCAUUAAAUUAUUCCAGAGAGAAACCAAAACCCUUGUUAGAAGAAAAGAAAAAAAGACCAAAAACAGAGUCAAGGUUUCCUUAAAAGGUGCUAGUAAUAAGUAUCUUUAAAAAGAAUAGCUUUUAUUAUAUGGUCAUCUUUUAUUAUUGAACUUAUAUACUAUGAAUAACUAUCACCAUCCUUAUAAAAAGCAGCAAAAAAUAUUGAUCACCUAAUAACAUCUUAGAUGAAUCAAGGUUGAGAGGAGUUACUAAAAGUAAUUGAGACAUGAAAUUUAAGCUUAUAUGGUCAUAGGUCUAGAGAUAACAAAACAUUAACGUGAAACAUCUUAUUCUAUCGAGCUUCCAACAACGUGAUGGGGGAUUGAGUACCAGAUGGAGAACUUGCUUCCAUCAUACUCCUAUCAGUGAAGAAACAAGGCUCUUUGGGUUGAGGUAGUGCACCCUCACUACUCAACAUCAAAACCACAGAAUGCAUGCUUGGUCGAUCAUUUGGAAAACGUUGCACACAUAAUAGGCCCAAAUUGAUUAUGGGUAUAACUUCAGAUAGAUUGCAGGUGUUCCCCAAUGAUGCAUCAAUAAAUUCUGAAGACCUAUCUUCUUUAUAGAGUGUCCAUGCCUAGACAAUUGAAAAAAGAAUCAACACUUCUUUUAAUAUUGAAAUAGAGAAAUAUUACUUGAUACUUACAUGCCCAAGAAGAUUAAUGUUGCGAUCUGGGUGGUUAAAUCCUAUGUUUCUCUUCCCACUUACAAUCUCUAACACCAAAACACCAAAGCUAAAAACAUCGGAUUUUGUGGAAUACAAUCCUUCACUUGCAUACUCUGGAGACAUAUAACCUCUGUAGGAAGCCAUUGAAGAAGAGGUUGAAUUCACAAGCAACAAAGAUAAGAUUAUAUACACAUCACAAGAUAUACUUACAAUGUUCCAGCCACUCUUGUUGUAUUUGCUUCCGUUUCAUUUCCUCCAAAACUUCUUGCUAUUCCGAAGUCUGAAAUUUUGGGGCUCAUUUCAUUAUCUAGUAAAAUGUUUUCUGCUUUGAGAUCUCUAUGGAUUAUCCUGAGUCUAGAAUCUUGAUGAAGAUAGAGAAGGCCUCGAGCUAUCCCAUUGAUGAUGUGAAAGCGCUUGGGCCAAUCUAGUACCACGCUUCGCAUUUGAUCUGCCCAUUUUUUAUCAUUCAAGUUAACUUGUUCUACUACUUGGAUUGUUAUAAAUGGAAAAUAUUUCAAGAAACAAAUGAUUUCAAAUUCCAUGAGAGUUGUUUAGAGCAAUGACAUGUAAAAACAAAAGUGAGUAUGAUUAAAAAUCAUUCUCAAUGAUUAAAGAACAUUGUCAAGGACACACAAAUGGAUAAUGAUCUUAAUGGUAAGGAUCAAAACCCCUAGUUUUUAUACAAGAGCCACAAGAUUAGAGAAAAUAGAAGUAAGAAAGAUUUUCUAGAUAAAUGCAUCUACUCUUUAUCUUGUUCCCAACAAUUUUUCUUUGAGAUUGGUAAAAUUUGUUAUAAAUAAAGAAUUUUCCUAGCAUUUGCAUAGAAGAAAAAAAAAAAAAAAAGCCAUUCUAGUAGACAAAGAAACUAAAUAGUGGUUUUAGAGAGUCAAACCAAAAAUAAACAAGUCCAAGCUUUUGUUGGGCAAGUAUUCAUAGAUCAACAUCCUUUCUCUGCCAUGAAUGCAACAUCCAAGAAGCUUUACAAGAUUUCGAUGUUGAAGUUUUGCAAUGGAUUCAGCUUCAUUUUUUAACUCUUCUAAUCCUUGUCUAGAAGUUUUUAACAUCAUCUUCACUGCUAUUUCUUGUCCCUCUUGCAAUAUUCCCUAAAAACAACACAUUGUUUUUAUUUUGAAAGCUUUGCAAAUUAAAUGAAACUUAUCAAUAUUCAAAAUGAGUAGCCCUAAACAAACUAGUGACACAAAAAUGUUGGCACAUAUAUUGGCUUCAAGACAUUAAGGCAUAUAUCUUAAUGUGGCUUCAUUUAGAUACUAUGACAAUUGGGGACAAUGACAACUUCUCAAUAUGCUUAGAUGUGUGUUUUUAACUUGUAAGUUGUUGCAGGGCAUACCCUUACCUUGUAGACAGGCCCAAAACCACCCUCUCCAAGCUUAUUGUCACUAGAAAAGUUAUUGGUGGCAUUCAAUAAUGUAUCCAAGUCAAAUAAUGGUAUCUCUAGGUGCUCCUGACCUUCAUUGGUUUCAUCUCCCUCAAUAUUGUGUUCCAUGUAUCCUACAAAAUGGAGAAUGGAAUGAAGGAUUAAAGAAUGCAUAAAUCCUAUAUACAGAAAUCAUGAACUUGACCCAUCUCCAUGCCUAGAUCAUUUCAUCAUUUAUCAAAUCAAGCCAUGUAAAUCCCUUGCUCCUUUUUUGAGUAAUACAUAAUCAGACAACGUGUGGAAGUACUUCUGACUAAUGCACUUAGUGAUACAAGCACUAUGAUUUGUUACUUGCCUCUUCUCUUUAGCCGCCUCUUCCUCUUCUUUAGCACACACAGGGUUAAGACCAGACUUAAAAGAACUACUCCUGUGAUUGAUAUAGAGAUGGCAAUGGCUUGCUUUUUCUUCUUCUUGGAGCUGCUAUUUAGGCUUGACAAAGCAUCUUAACACAAAUGGAAAGAAAUUAAGUAGAAAAGCCAGUAAAUAAAAUAGAAAAACUAUAAAUUCCUAUAAGUAGUAACCACUAUUCCAAAAUAUAUUUUUAGUUUGCAACCAUGAAAGUAGAGUUCAAGGAACUGUAGUUGCCAUAGGAUUUGAGGGCACAAAUCAGUUGGUGUAUUGGUGUGUUAUAGCAUCUAGCUUACUAUAAUUGAAAUCUAAAAGAAAAAUAUUCCAACUUUUGAGUAGACCUCUGCUUUGCACUCUAGUCUUCAGAAAAUAAGUAUACUAUUCCAUGGAAGAAUGUGCUUGGCAGUUGGUCUUAGAUUUUUCACACCAGCAAUAAUUGAGACAGAGGUAAAGCGUUAAGUCACAAAAUCAAGGAUAAAACUAGAGGCACGUGUGCACGGUGAACAACUGAUUCAAAACCUUUGAAUAAAUAUACCAUGAAAUUUGUAUCAGAUUUAUGUUUCUUAGGCAACAAAAAGAAAAGUUUAUACCUGAUUCUGAUGCAGCCAUCCUUGCAUAAAACUCUUGCCCAUUUUGAGUGAAGUCUCUGAUGUCAAUCAAGUCAUCAAACCAGAGCAAGCAUCCACUUCCUCCUCCUCUGAUAUCUGAAUUUGCAUAAGCAGUGCAAGAGCAGUUCCUCAAGCACAGGGAAGCACAUUCCUUAAGGUUCAUGCUUUCAUCAAACCAGGAGUUCCGCGUGUCUGGCAGUUUCACACCAGAGUACUUUACAAAUCCAUCACCCUUUUGACAAUCCAGUGGAGUACUUCGAACGCAUCCCUUUGACCAGUCUGCCAUGUCCCAAUUGCUUUGGAACUUUGGCCUAAAUCCCUUCAUACACUCACAUUUUGGAGAUUCAUCAAUCUUACAGAUUCCAUAUACUCCACAUAUUGCAUAAUUGUCACAGUCAUCCUUCUGUGUGGUUGAGUAAAGAGUCCAUUCAUUUUUUUGAUCAGUCCAUGUGAAUCUUCGUGAAUAACCAUCAGGAGUUAACACAAGCCUCAUAAUAACUGAGCUGUUAACAAGAGAAUAAAUAAAAUAUAUCUCCUUUUCAUUAGAAACAAAAUUAAAUGUAUAAACUGAGUUGUUUGUUAAUUGAGGUAUUCCACUAUAUCGAACACCAUUCCAUGGUCCAGCACGAAACUCUACAGCUAAACCAUUCCUCAAUAAUAGUUGUGGAAAUCCACUUAGAUCAAUCCCAUAAGUAAAAUUACCUUUAGAAGGGUCAUCAUCACUCUUCCACGAUGACAGGUAUCGAUCCAGGCCUGUUACUCUGUUCCUUCCAAACUUCAUGCCUGGUAGAAGCGUAUCGCAUGGAUAAUCAAAACUCUGCCAGAAGAAGUUUUCUGAGUCACUAUCAUUGCCACUUCUCAUAACAAGAUUUCCAGAUUCCAAAAGCUGAGCAUUUGGAUCCUCUGCAAAACGUGAUGAAUUAGAAUUCCAAAGAAUUCCAUUAGUACCGUUGACCAGAACAAGAAUUCCCUGCUCAGUGACCUUUAAAACUCCCGAUGAAUCAGUUAGUGGACUUUCUCUAUUGGCAACCCAUACCACUGUCCCAGUAGCCACUUUCUUGUACCAUAUCCCCAAGUAUCGAUUCUUGGAAUUUCCUGGACUGAAGAAACCCAGUUCAAAGCUCCCACCCGCUGAAGUGAUGGUCUCACCAUCUGUAAUGUUUUGAUUUACAAUUAUGGUGUCUACUGCCACGGAGAUUCUUAAGAGGGAUAAUACAUAGGAGAAGAUAACUGCAACUGUUGUAAGAGAAUCCAUAGUUGUUCCUAGAUAGAAAAUGCCUGAGAUUUUAGGUGCUUUCCAAGUCUCCUUAUAUUUUUCUUUCCCCAUGUUAGAUUUUGCAUAGGUUGCUUCAUAUAUCAAAGUCAAUGUAACUCUCCAUCGUUAGCCAUAACUCCGGAAAUCUAUUCAUGUCAUUGUUUUUAUUGGCAUUCAAUGGUGGGGUCCGUUGAGUUAAAUAUAUGAAUGAUUUGUAUGACUUAGAGAAGAACAUCUCACCCACAUCCCCAUCCACAUUUAAUUUUCCAUACCUCUUAAAGUGGACUAGGAAUUAGUUUAUACAACAAGUUGAAGUAAGGACCAAUAACAGAAUGACUGUUGUAGCAACCCUCUUUCCUAGUCAAAGUUUACAGGUCAUUUACAACUCACAUACAGAGAACAUUCAUGUGGUCCAGUUUCUAAUUAAACUUCAAAUACUGAGUAGCUUUCACGACUUGUUAAAUAUUUGGAUUCUCUAGUUUCCUUUUUUUUUUUUUCCCAACUUUGGAACGAUGCCCACGUGACUUGUUGCCAGCUCUUGACUCAAAUUUAUAUGGGUGUAUAGACUUGUUUACACCUUAGAUAUUGAAAUGAAGCUUUGAGCGAAGUCAUCACAGUUGGCUGGACCUGCAUGGAAGUUGGUUAUGCUCCUCCGGGUAUAAAAAUUUAGAAGAGGACUACUUUGUUCUCUCACAAGUCCCAAGGCUCCUUGAGCUUCAAUGACUUGUUGUAGUGAUUUGAUGAGAGCAUCUCUAUCUCUGGGAUGGCUGACACCGAUCCUCUCAAUCAACAAAUAGCUCAUACAUUGUGACGAGGAAAGAAUGAUCUCAAUCAAUUAACAACUUACACAUUGAUCAUAAUUAGAGAAUCAUAACUCCUUUUCGCUAAAGGACUUAGGAGCUUUGCAUUAUUUUCUUGGAAUUAAAGUGUUUUGGGAUUCCAUAGGACUUUAUCUAACUUGGUCCAAAUAUAUACUUGACUUGUUAAAAUGAACUAACAUAGAACCAGCCAAAAGUUGCCCUACACUAGCAAUUAUGGGCUUACAGCUAUCCAUUUCUAGUGCACCUAACUUGAACAAUGAGAAGUUGCAUCACAACACUGUAGGGGCAUUACAAUAUCUCAUGAUUACUUGACUAAAAUAUCAUACAUUAUAAACAAAUCAAGUCAGUUUUUACAUUUUCCAACUGAUAUGCGUCAGAAAGUUUGUAAAUGAGUCUUGAGAUACUUGCAUGGGAGUAUUGAUCAUGGCCUACACAUUCAAUCAGCUUCUGCAUUUAGUCUCACUAGCUUCUUAGAUGCUGAUUGGGUCAGAUGUGUUGACGAUCCAAGGUCUGUUAAUGGCUUCUAUGUUUUUCUUGGUCCUAACAUUGUCUCAUGGAGUUCACGUAAGCAAAAGUUAGUUGCAAGGUCCAACACUGAGUCUUGAUUCAAAGCAUUGGCUCACACAGCAGCAGAGGUGACCUGGUUGCAAGCCUUAAAAGAUCUACAAGUCCUUAAUUCUUCAUGUCCUGUAAUCUGGUGUGAAAACAUUAGGGUAGCUUGCAUUACUGCAAAACUGGUUACACAUGCUCGCACCAAACAAAUGGAAGUAGAUGUCCAUUUUGUACGUGACAAAGUGCCGCAGAAGGAGUUAGACAUUCGGUAUGUACCUACAAAAGAUCGGGUAGCUGAUAUACUAACAAAGCCCUUAUCUAUAUCCCAGUUCAACAUCCUUAAGGUCGAGCUCAAUGUGAAGGUGUCCCCAUUUCACUUGAGGUGGCAUGUUUGACAGAAUGUUGCAGUUACAAAAUUAGUUUCAGAGUUAAUUGAGUUUAGCUUUAACAGUUCCACAGUUGAGGUUAGAUUUAGAAUUAGAUAAAAGAAAGAAUCAGUUAGUCUCCAACCAACUUGUAAUCUUCUCUAUAGAAAGGAAAAGAGAGAAAGAAAAAAAAGAGGUCAGUUGUAUUUCUCGCAUGCCGUGAUUUUAUCUCCUAUGUUCUCCUCUGUUUUUCAGUCUCAACAUCUUAUCUCCUAUGCAAGGUCCAACACUCGGCCAAGAUUCAAGAGGCAUGUUCAUGCACACAUUAUGCCAUAUAUUAAACUGUAAUUGAAAGCUAAAACAACAAACAUGUUGAAAUUUUAUGUGGACCGGUGCUAAACUUCAGGUUAUUGGUGCUUUAUAUAAAAGAAACUGUUUUCCUCCUUGAAGUUUUGUGUCAAAUUUACUUUUCUUCUGUUAGGAACAGAUAAGUUCAUACCUAAUUCUGAUGCAGCCAUUCUUAAAUAAAGCACUUGUCCAUUUUCAGCUAUAUCUACCAAAUCGAAUCACUAAACCAGGCAAAGCAUCCACUUCCUCAUUUAUAUGUGAAUUAGCAACGCCCUUGAGGUUCAUACUUUGAUUAAACCAUGAGCUCUACCUGUCUGGGAGUUUCAUACCUGAUAACUUUACAACUUGUCACUCAUCUAAUGAAUUAGCCGAGUGGGAAUUACACCAGUCUCCAUAGACACUUUCCUGUAUCAUAUCCCUAAGCCUGAAUUUGUGGAGUUAUCUGGGCUGAAAAGCCCUAGUUCAAAGCCACAAACAACUCCAAUGAUUACCUCACAUCUACUGUUGACGUACAUAGGAUAAGAAAAUUGUGGUUGGUUGGCCAUGACCAAUCAAUCUUUUUCCGUGGAUAUAUAUUAUUCUAGCAUUAAGUGGCAUAUAUUCCCUUCAAAUAAAUAACAAAAUCAAUCCCAAUUUGCAGCUAGAAUCUACUUAAUUAACCUCUUGUUCUUGAUGCUAAAGUGUUAAAAGGUCAUAUUUUUCUUUUUAAUUUUUUUACUUGAUUCUGACAUGUUAAAAUAGUAAUCUUAUUAACUUAUUUAAGAGAGAAACCCCUUUUUUAGCAGAUAUCAAAUAUCAACAAAAGACCAAAAACAGAGUCAAGGUUUCUCUACAAGAUGCAAGUAAUUAGUAUUUUUUAUAAGAAUAGCUUUUUUUAUAUGGUCAACUUCUAUCAUUGAACUUACAUACCAUGAAUAACUAUCAUAAUCGAUACAAAAAGAUAGCAGCAAAGACUGAUCACCAGAUAACAUCUUAGAUGAGUCUUUUGUUAGAAGCUAAGCAGUAUGAUUGCGAAAAAGUUGCCAAAUGUAGUUGAAACUUAAGCUUAUAUUGUCAUAGGUCUAACGACAACAAAACAUCAACAUGAAGCAUCUUCUAUCGAGCUUCCAACAAUGUGAUGGUGGGUUGAAUACCAGAGAAAGAAUUUGCAUCCAUCAUAUUCCUAUCAGUGAAGAAACAAGGCUCUUUGGGCCGAGGUAGUGCCCCCUCACUACCCAACAUCAAAAUCACAGAGUGCAUGCUUGGUCGAUCAUCCGGGAAACGUUGUAUGCAUAAUAGGCCCACGUUGAUUGAACGUAGCACUUCAAAUAGAUUGCAGGUGUUCACUUUUGAUGUAUCAAUAAAUUCUAAAGACCCACCUUCUAUAUAGAGUGUCCAUGCCUAGAGAAUUGAAAAGAGGAUCAGCACUGCCUUUAUAUAGUGAAAUAAGGAAAUAAGAAAAUAUUACCCAAUACUUACAUGCCCAAGAAGAUUAAGGUCAUGGCCUGGGUGGCUAAAUCCUCUGUUUCUCUUCCCACUUACAAUCUUUAGCAACAAAACACCAAAGCUAAAAACAUCGGAUUUUGUGGAAUACAAUCCUUCACUUGCAUACUCUGGAGACAUAUAACCUCUGUAGGAAACCGUUGAAGAAAGGGUUAAAUUCACAAGCAAUGGAGAUAAAGACUUUAUACAUAUCACUAAAUAUACUUACAAUGUUCCAGCCACUCUUGUUGUGUUUGCUUCAAUUUCAUUUCCUCCAAAACUUCUUGCUAUUCCGAAGUCUGAAAUUUUGGGGCUCAUUUCAUUAUCUAGUAAAAUGUUUUCUGCUUUGAGAUCUCUAUGGAUUAUCCUGAGUCUAGAAUCUUGAUGAAGAUAAAGAAGGCCUCGAGCAAUCCCAUUGAUAAUGAGGAAGCGCUUAGGCCAAUCUAGUACCCUGCUUCGCAUGUGAUCUAUCCAUUUUUUUUAUCAUUCAAGUUAACCCAUUCUACUACUUGGAUUAUUGAAAAUAAAUGGAAAACAUUUCAAGAAACAAAUGAUUACAAAUUUCAAGAGAGUUGUUCAAAGCAAACAUUGUCAAAGAUUGAAAAACAUUGUCAAAGAGACACAAAUAGAUAAUGGAUCUUAAUGGUAGGGUUCCAAACCCCUAACAUUUUUAAAAAAUGUUAGAGAAAAUAGAAAUAUGAAAAAUUUUCUAAAUAAAUGCAUCUAUGCUUUAUCUUGUCCUUGAGGAUUUUUCUUUGAAAUUUGUCAAAUCCAUGGUAAAUAAAGAAUUUCCCUAGCAUGUAUAGGAGAAGAGAGAGAAAAGAGAAGCUACUCAAUUAGACAAAGAAACUAUAUAGUGGUUUUAGAGAGCCGAACCAAAAAUGUACAAGUCCAAGCUUUUGUUGGGCAUGUAUUCAUAAAUCAACAAUCUUUCUCUGCCAUGAAUGCAACAUCCAAGAAGCUUUACAAGAUUUCGGUGCUGAAGUUUUGUAAUGGAUUCAACUUCAUUUUUGAACUCUUUUAAUCCUUGUCUAGAAGUUUUUGACAUCAUCUUUACUGCUAUUUCUUGUCCUUCUUGCAAUAUUCCCUGAAAACAUCAUAUUCUUUUUAUUCUGAAAGCUUUUCAAAUUAAAAGAAACUUGUCCAUAUUCAAUAUGAAGAGUCCUAAAGAAACCAGAGACACAAAAAUGUUGGCACAUACACCGACUUCAAAACUUUAAGGAGUAUAGUGGCCUUGAUACAUGUUGUUUCAUUUAGAUACUAUGAAGAUUGGGGACAUCAACUACUUCUCAAGAUGCUUAGCUAUGUAUCUAUAAUGUUUUAUUAACUUGUAACUUGUCUUAUCCAAAAGGCAAAGUAUAACCCUACCUUAUAGACAGGUUCAAAACCACCCUCUCCAAGUUUAUUGUCUCUAGAAAAGUUAUUGGUGGCAUUCAAUAAUGUAUCCAAGUCAAAUAAUGGUAAAUCUAGAUGCUCUUGGCCUUUAUUGUUUUCACCUUCUUUUGAUUUAUGAUCCAUGUAUUCUGCAGAAUGGAGAAUAAAAUGAAGGAUUAAAGAAUUCAUCAACCUGGAAUUUAGCCCAUUUCCAAGCCUAGAUCAUUUCAUUGUUUCUAAAAUCAAGCCAGGUCAAUCUAUUGCUCCCCUUUUUUAUUUAUUAUUACAUAAUCAAACAACGUGUAGAAGUACUUUUGACUAAUACAUAUGGUGAUACAAGCACUAUGAUUUGUUACUUACCUUUUUUCUUUAGCUGCUUCUUCCUCUUCUUGAGCACAUACAAGAUCAGGACUGGACUUAAAAAAACUAUUCCUGUAAUUGAUAUAGAGAUGACAAUGACCUGCUUUUUCUUCUUCUUGGAGCUACUAUUUAUGCUUGAAGAAGCUUCUUGACACAAAAGGAAAGAAAUUAAGAAGGAGAGCUAAGAAAUAAAUUAGAAAAACUAUAAAUUCCUAUGAACAGUAACUGUUGAUCUAAAAUAUAUUUGUAGUUUACAGCCAUGAAGGUAGAAGUUCAAGGAACUGCAAUUGCCAUAGGAUUUGAUAGCACAAAUCAGUUGGUGUAUUGGUGUGUUAUAGCAUCUAUCUUAAUACAAUUGAAAUCUAAAAGAAAAAUAUUCCAACUUUUGAGUAGACCUCUACUUUGCACUCUAGUCUUUAGAAAAUACGUAUACUAUUCCAUGAAAUAAUGUGCUUGGCAUUUGGUAUCAGAUUUUUCACAUCAGCAAUAAUUGAGAUGGAGGUAAAUUAAGAUUUAAGUUGCAAAAUCAUGGGAUUGAACUAGAGGCACAUAUGCAAGGUGAACAACUGAUUCAAAACUUUUGAGUAAAUAUACCAUGAAAUUUGUAUGAGAUUUAAGUUUCCCAAGUAUGAAAAAGAAAUGUUUAUACCUGAUUCUGAUGCAGCCAUCCUUGCAUAAAACUCUUGCCCAUUUUGAGUGAAGUCUCUGAUGUCAAUCAAGUCAUCAAACCAGAGCAAGCAUCCACUUCCUCCUCCUCUGAUAUCUGAAUUUGCAUAAGCAGUGCAAGAGCAGUUCCUCAAGCACAAGGAAGCACAUUCCUUAAGGUUCAUGCUUUCAUCAAACCAGGAGUUCCGCGUGUCUGGCAGUUUCACACCAGAGUACUUUACAAAUCCAUCACCCUUUUGACAAUCCAGCGGAGUACUUCGAACGCAUCCCUUUGACCAGUCUGCCAUGUCCCAAUUGCUUUGGAACUUUGGCCUAAAUCCCUUCAUACACUCACAUUUUGGAGAUUCAUCAAUCUUACAGAUUCCAUAUACUCCACAUAUUGCAUAAUUGUCACAGUCAUCCUUCUGUGUGGUUGAGUAAAGAGUCCAUUCAUUUUUUUGAUCAGUCCAUGUGAAUCUUCGUGAAUAACCAUCAGGAGUUAACACAAGCCUCAAAAUAACAGAGCUGCUAACUAGAGAAUAAAUAAAAUAUAUCUCCUUUUCAUUAGAAACAAAAUUAAAUGUAUAAACUGAGUUGUUUGUUAAUUGAGGUAUUCCACUAUAUCGAACACCAUUCCAUGGUCCUGCACGAAACUCUACAGCUAAACCAUUCCUCAAUAAUUGUUGUGGAAAUCCACUUAGAUCAAUCCCAUAAGUAAAAUUACCUUUAGAAGGGUCAUCAGCACUCGUCCAUGAUGACAGGUACCGAUCCAUGCCCAUUACUCUGUUCCUUCCAAACUUCAUGCCUGGUAGAAGAGUAUCGCAUGGAUAAUCAAAACUCUGCCAUAGGAAGUUUUCUGGGUCACUAUCAUAGCCAUUUCUCAUAACAAGAUUUCCAGAUUCCAAAAGCUGAGCGUUUGGAUCCUGCGCAGAACGUGAUGAAUUAGAAUUCCAAAGAAUUCCAUUAGUACCGCUGACCACAACAAGAAUUCCCUGCUGAGUGACCUUUAAAACACCUGAUGAAUCAGUUAGUGGACUUUCUCUAUUGGCAACCCAUACCACCGUCUGAGGAGCCACUUUCUUGUACCAUAUCCCCAAGUAUCGAUUCUUGGAAUCACCUGGACUGAAGAAACCCAAUUGAAAGGUCCCACCCGCUGAAUUGAUGGUCUCGCCAUCUCUAAUGUGUUGAUUUACAUUUAUGGUGUCUACUGUAGUGGAGAUUCUUAAGAGGGAGAAUACAUAGUAUUAAAAUUGAUUAAUGUGAAAACUUGCCUUGUUGAACAAAGAAAUAUGCAGAGUUUGUUAGGUUGUUACAAGUUAGUGGAAUUUUUUUAUUUUGUUAUUUUUCAUUUUCUGGAUGAGCUGGAAUCUUCUCGAUUGUUCCAAGCCUUCCUAUAUAUGUUGCUACUGUACAAUCAGUGAAGAGGGGAAUCAAUGAAUUAGUUUUAUUUCUCUCUCAGGCCUUUGUUUGCCUUUCUUGCCAUUUACCUUUUGUUUUUCUAUUAUGGUAUCAGAGCGUAUUCCUUCCGUUUUUCCUUCCUUCUGAGCAUGGCUAAGGGCAAACCUCCUCAGCAUCCUUUUCAGUCUCCCAUGGAAGAUCAUAGUAGUCCCUAUUUUCUUCACAAUGGUGAUCAUCCAAGUCUCUCUCUGGUUUCUCUUUCACUUGCUGGAUUUGGUUCAAACUAUCAUUCUUGGCGCCGAUCAAUGGUUAUAGCUUUAAAUGCUAAGAACAAACUUGGGUUUAUCGAUGGAACCAUCUCACGUCCUGCUGCAACAGAUCUCCUUGCUGGUCCUUGGUCUCGCUGCAACAACAUGGUCAUAUCUUGGCUCUCUAACUCGGUUUGCAAAGAAAUUGCAGAGAGCAUCCUCUAUCAUGAAACAACCAUCGAAAUAUGGAAUGAUCUAUACGAACGAUUUCAUUAGGGCAGUGGUCCUCAAAUUUUUGAACUCAAGCAAAAAAUUAUUGCUCACACUCAGGGAUCGGCUGAUGUCAAUACCUACUAUACUCGACUGAAAUCCUUGUGGGAUGAGCUUCAAGAAUUCAAGGCGAUACUAGUUUGCAAUUGCGGUGGCAUGCGUGUUUAUAUGGAGGAUCAACAACGAGAAUCUGUGAUGCAAUUUCUGCUGGGUUUGAACGAAUCCUUCGCUCCGAUUUGAGCUCAAAUCCUGUUGAUGGAACCGACUCCUCCGCUGAACAAAGUUUUCUCCCUGGUUGUUCAAGAAGAACGACAACGAUCUCUUACCACCUCCAACUCUCCGGCAUUCACUGCUCCUGUUUCCUCCAGAUUUCAAGCGGCAUCUAGAGCUUUUUCUCCUACUAAUGCCUCUCGAUCAAGAAAGGAUCGCCCACUCUGUACCCAUUGCAACAUCUUGGGUCACACAGUUGAUCGGUGCUACAAAAUACAUGGGUAUCCACCUGGAUUCAGAAAUAGGCCCAACUUCAAGCCCAAUGGUUCUCGCCCAAAUCAAAUGCUACCCAAUAGUCUUCACACGAAUCAGUUGACUCUCACAGAUGGCUCCACCGCCUCUGCAUCUCCACCACCUCUCACUCAUGACCAACACAAUCAGUUAUUAGCUCUCUUAAGUUUGCACAGCUCGAGUGGCUCCUCUGCCUCAUUCGGUGACAGCAACCCUCUUCAGCAAUCCAUUUCCAACUUCACUGGUAUCCUUUCUCUUUCUCCUUCAUCAUCCACUCUCAACCCUAGCAUUUGGAUUUUAGAUUCAAGGGCAACCCACCAUGUUUGCACUAAUUCCUCCAUGUUUCACUCUAUUCAUUCAUUUUCUUCCAACACUGUCACUUUACCCACUGGUAUAAAAAUAUCAAUCACCGGAAUAGGCACCAUUCAUCUGUCACCUCAUCUCGUGCUUGAACAUGUUCUCUACAUUCCAACAUUAAAAUUUAAUCUUAUCUCCAUUAGUGCCUUAACUCAAACCAAUUGUUUUUCCUUUGAUUUUACUGCUCGUUUUUGCUUCAUUCAAGACCACUCACAGGGGAAGCUGAUUGGGAUGGGUAGACGUCAAGGCAACAUUUACCUCUUAGAUAGCUCAGUCUUUCGUUCUAUUUCCUCUGUAUUCGUUGUUGAUAACAACACUUCUGCUCAUGUAAACAAAUUGUGGCAUUUCAGAUUAGGCCACCCAUCCAAUGUCAAACUCAGUGUAUUGAAACCUCAUUUACAGUUGCAAAGUAAUGGCAAUACCAAUCUUUCUUGUUCAAUUUGCCCUCUGGCAAAACAAAAACGUUUGCCAUUUGAUUGUCAUAAUAAUUUAUCUCCUUCUCCAUUUGAUCUCAUACACUGUGAUAUUUGGGGUCCAUUUCAUAUUCCCACACAUGAUGAAUUUCGUUAUUUUUUGACAAUCGUUGAUGAUUGUACAAAGAAUACAUGGGUUCAUCUUCUACGUGCUAAAUCUGAUGUCAAGACCAUUUUUCCAUAAUUUUUCUCCAUGGUUAAAACCCAGUUUGGUCUCACCAUUAAAGCAGUUCGCAGUGACAAUGCCCCUGAAUUAAACCUCUCCAAUCUCUUUACCCAACUUGGUGUGCUCCAUUUUUUCUCUUGUGUUGAAACUCCUCAACAAAACUCGGUUGUUGAGCGUAAACACCAACACAUCCUAAACGUAGCUCGGGCCUUAUAUUUCCAAUCCAACAUACCUAUAGGAUAUUGGGGGGAUUGUGUGCUUACUUCGGUUUACCUUAUAAAUCGAAUUCCAUCACCAUUACUGAACAACAAAACUCCUUUUGAACUACAUCAUAAAUCACCAUCUUACUCCCAUCUCAAAUCUUUCAGAUGUCUUUGUUAUAGUUCAACUCUUCCUCGAGCCUUACCUUGUGUCUUUUUAGGAUAUCCUUUUGGUUACAAAGGUUACAAAAUUCUAGACUUAGAGACCAACCAAAUAUCUGUCUCCCGAAAUGUUAUCUUCCAAGAAUCUGUGUUUCCUUUCAAGUUAUCUCAGAAUAAUAACUCUGUUGCUUCAGAUUUCUUUUCUGAAAAGGUGCUGCCUAUUGUACCAGUUUCUACCCCUUCCCCUUCUUUUAAUAAUUCGACUUCACAUCCUAACAGCCCUGACUCUUCCUCCAAUGACACUUCACCUCAUACCACCUCCCACACAACCACCAGAUCUUCUAGAGUAUCCCAACCACCCAAAUAUCUCUCUGAUUAUCACUGUUAUUUAGCUUCUUCUACUCGUCAUUUCGAUAUAUCCAACUCCACUCCUUACCCCUUAUUCGAUGUCAUCUCCUACAAUAAACUUUCCCCUUCUUUUCGUGCAUUUUCUAUUUCCAUUUCCACCAUCAUAGAACCCAAAACAACAUAUGCUGAGGCAGUCGUUGUACCCGAGUGGCAGCAUGCUAUGUGAGCUGAACUGCAAGCUUUAGAGUCCAAUAAUACCUGGUCUUUGUGCACUCUACCCCCUGGAAAAACAACAGUUGGUUGCAAAUGGCUUUAUCGUGUUAAAUAUCAUGCUAAUGGUUUUAUUGAAAGGUACAAAGCACGACUUGUUGCCAAAGGGUUCACACAGCAAGAAGGUGUUGAUUUUUUUUAUACUUUUUCACCUAUUGCCAAGAUGGUUACUGUCAAGGUAUUACUCUCUCUUGCUUCUAUUUACAAUUGGCAUUUGACUCACCUUGAUGUCAAUAAUGCAUUUUUGCACGGUGAUCUAUCUGAAGAAGUUUUCAUGCAUCUUCCUCCUGGUUAUCACCGUGAGGGGGAGCCUUUAUUACCUUCCAACACAAUUUGUAAGUUACACAAAUCCAUCUAUGGCUUGAGACAAGCAUUUAGGCAGUGGUUUGAAAAAUUCUCUAGUGUUCUAAUCUCUAAAGGCUUUCAGCAAUCUCAUUCAGAUUAUUCUCUAUUUAUCAAGACAGCAGGAAAUGAUUUUAUUGCUUUGUUAGUGUAUGUUGAUGACAUAAUAGUUGCUAGUAACAACAAGAUUGCUGCUGAUAAUUUGAAGAAUUCUCUCAACAAAAGCUUUAAAUGAAAGGAUCUAGGAAAUCUCAAGUAUUUUCUUGGACUUGAAGUAGCUAAAUCAGCUAAAGGGAUCCUGGUAAACCAGAGAAAAUAUGCUCUGGAACUCCUAUCUGAAACAGGCUACUUAGGUUGCAAACGUGCCAAAACUCCAACGCAACCAAAUAUGCAACUUUCUCAAGAUGAUGGAGAGCUGCUAACAGAUCCCAGCAUGUAAAGAAGGCUCAUAGGGAAGCUUAUAUACCUUACUAUCACCAGGCCAGACCUAACUUACUCGGUGAACAAGUUGAGCCAAUUCCUAAGUCAACCGAGGAGACCACAUUUGCAAGUAGUCUACAGGAUUCUUCAAUAUAUCAAAGGAUCACCAGGCAAAGGUAUUUUCUUCUCAACUUCCUCAUCUCUUCAAUUAAAGGCCUUCUCAGAUUCUGAUUAGGUAGCAUGCCCAGAUUCUAGAAAAUCAAUCACUGGAUUUUGUAUAUUUCUUGGAGAUUCUUUGAUAUCAUGGAAAUCAAAAAAGCAAAGGACAGUUUCAAGAUCCUCAGCUGAAGCAGAGUAUCGAGCAAUGGCUCAUGUGACUUGUGAGCUAACAUGGUUGAUUGCCUUACUCAAGGACUUAGGAGUUUCACACACACAACCUGCUUUGUUGUACUGUGACAACCAAGCUGCUCUACACAUUGUUGCAAACCCGGUCUUCCAUGAGCGUACUAAACACAUAGAGAUAGAUUGUCAUAUUGUAAGAGAGAAGAUUCAAACAGGUAUGCUCAAAACUCUACAUGUUGCUUCACAACAUCAAUUGGCUGAUAUACUUACCAAUCCUCUCUUUCCUGAUCAAUUCAAUUCUCUCAUAGACAAGAUGGGAAUGUAUAACAUAUACAUUCCAUCUUGAGGGGGAGUAUUAAAAUUGAUUACUGUGAAAACUUGCCUUCCUUGUUGAACAAGAAAUAUGCAAAGUUUGUUAGGUUGUUACAAGUUAGUGGAAUUUUUUUAUUUUGUUAUUUUUCAUUUUCUGGAUGAGCUAGACUCUUCUCGAUUGUUCCAAGCCUUCCUAUAUAUGUUGCUACUGUACAAUCAGUGAAGAAGGGAAUCAAUGAAUUAGUUUUAUUUCUCUCUCAGGCCUUUGUUUGCCUUUCUUGCCAUUUACCUUUUGUUUUUCUAUUACAUAGGAGAAGAUGAACACAACUGUUGCAAGAGCAUCCAUAGUUGUUCCCAGAUAAAAAAAUGCCCAAGAUUUUAGGUGCUUUUCAAGUCCCCUUAUAUUUUCCCUCGCCCCCUAGGAUAUGGCAUUGUGUUUGACUUGUAUGACUUGGAGAAGAACAUCACCUCCAUUGUUCAUCAUUGGAGGUCCUUCAUCCAAAUUAGAUUUUUCUAUACCUCUUAAAAUUGAGUAGCUAUUAAUUUAUCCCUUACAAUAGUUUAUGAAUGAUCUCAUCUUUUCUUUAGAAGAAUUACAAGUUGAAGUAAAGAAGACCAAGAACAGAGUGUUGGAAUUUUGACAAGUAUACAAUAGUUUAAAAAAGAAUGAUUCAUAAACUAACAUAGUGGAAAAAAUAUUUUUAAAUCUACCGUUUUUGCUAAGUGGGAAAAAGAAAUUAAAUUUAAAGUAAAAAUAGUCUCUUAUGGGCAAAAAUGUCUUUUGAAGAGAUGAAUUUUAAAAAUUCUUUAAAAAACAAAAUUUAUAGGCUAAGAUCGUCUCUCGAAUAAAAGAUUUCUUUUUAUUAUUUUUUUAGAAAAGUUCUAGACAAAAAUCCUUUAUGCAAAAAAUGUGUUUUGAGGAGAUGAGUUUUAAAAAUUCUUUAAAAAACAAAAUUUGUAGGCUAAAUUGGUCUCUUGAAUAAAAGAUUUCUUUUUAUUAUUAUUUUUUUAAAAAGUCUAAAAUUGUCUAUUGAAGACACGAUUUCAUAAAUAAUAAAAAAAUAAUAAAAAAACAAAAGAAAAAGAAAGAAAUAAAAGGAGUUCUUAUUUUUAAUAAUAUUUUAAUUAAUAAUAUAUUUUAAUAAUAAAAUUAAUAUAAAUAUAUGCAUUGUAAUAUUAAUUAAUUUAAGUUUAUUAUAUUUGAUAUAUUAUUUAUAAUUAUAAUAUUUAUAAAAGUAUAAAUUAUAUUUAGCAUCUACUAUUAAAAAAAUACUAUUUUAUGUUGAGUUAAAUAUCGAUAACAAAAAUAUUUUGAUCUUUAUCACCAAUUUUAUUUCUAAAUUAAUUUAAUGAAUUGUAACUAUAAAUAGAAAUUAGUUUUAUUUUAUUUUAUUUUUUAUUUAUAAUAUAAAUAAUACAUAUUUUAAAUUUUGAAACUUUAUCUACUACUUUCUUGUUCCUUUUAAAUUUCAUAUUAAAACAAAUCUAUUAUCAAUUUUAUUUUAUUUGAGUUUAUAAAAAAUAAUUUUAUUACCUAUUUAUUUUUUUAGUUUAUUAAAUAUAUAUAUAUAUAUAUAUAUAUAUAUAUAUUUACAAAAUGAAUAAUUUUUUAUUUUUAAAUUAAUUUUAUUAGAUAAAAUUUAAAAAUAAAAAUAUUAUUCCUUAAUUUAAAAUUUAACGGUAAAAAAAUAGAGAAAAAUAAAUUAUUUUUAAAUUGAUUAAUACUCAAAAAAUUAUUUGUUUCAUUUUAAAUUGAUUAAUAUUCAAAAAAUUAUAUCUCUUAAAGUUGACAUUUUUAUUCAAAAUUAAUUUGUUGAAUAAUAAAUUGGUUUAUUUUUCUAUAUUUUAUUUCUUUUACUAUUAAAUUUUAAAUUUAAAAAAAAUUAUUUUAAAGCUUAUCUAAUAAAAUUAAUUUCAAAAUUAAAACGAAAAAAAAAAAUCAUUCAUUUUGUAAAAAAUAAAAAAUAAAAAUUACUAAACUAAAAAAGGAAAUUUAUAAUAAAUUUAUUAUUUUAUAAACUCAAUUUUCACCUCAAAUUAAUAAUAGUUUUUUUUUUCUUAAUUUGAAAGUGAAACAAACAAAAAGUAAUAGAUAAUAUCUAAAAAUUAAAAUAUUUAUUAUUUAUCUUAUAAAUAAAAAAUAAUAUAAAACUAAAUUAGUUUCUAGUUAGAGUUAUAAUUAAUAAAAUUAAUUUAAUGAUAAAAAUUGGAGAUAAAUAUAAAAAUAUUUUUUAAAUCAAUAUCUAAAUUAAUAUAAAAUAGCGUUUUUUAAACAUAAAAUGCUAAACAUAAUUUAUACUUAUAUAUAUAUAUAUAUAUUAGUAUUGAUAAAUAAUAUAUCCCAAUAAUUACAAUUAUUUUUAUAUAUUAAAUUUAAUAGAUAAAAUUAAUUAAUUCUAUAAUACAUAUAUUUAUAAUAAUUAUAUUAUUAUACAAAUGUUAUGUGUUUUAUUAUUUUUAAUGAUAUUUUUAAUUAAUAAUACAAUGCUACAUCAUUUAAAAAUAUGAGGUGAUGACCAAAAUAAUUUUUUAAUUAAUAUAAAAUUAUAAAUAUAACUUAUACUUUUAUAAAUAUUAUAAUUAUAAUAAUAUAUCAAUAAUAAUAAACAUAAAAUCAAUUAAUUUUAUAAUACAUAUAUUUAUAAUAAUUUUAUUAUUUAAAAAUAUUAUUAGUUAAAAUAUUAUUAAAAAUAAUAAAACAUGGAAAAAAAUUUAAUUUUUUGAAAUCAUUUGGAGAAGAUUUCUUCCCUUAAUUUUUUUUUUUUUUAAGAAAUCGUCUCCUGAUUUUCUAUUUUUUUAUUUCCUAUAUCCAAUAAUUUUUUUAAAAAAUAAAAAAUAAAUAAAAAUCAUCUUUUGAAGAGACUAUUUUAGUUUGAAUUUUUUGUAAAAUUUUUAAAAAAAUUUGAAAAUACUAUUUUUACUUAGAACUUAAAAAUAAUAAUAAUAAUAAGAAAUCGUGUCUAGAGACAAUUUUAGCUUAUAUAUAUUUUGAAAGAAUUUUUAGAAAUUAUCCCUUCAAGAAUUGAUUUUUGCAUAUUACAUAUAUAUAUAAAGAAAAUAAAUAUCUUUUGAAGAAAUGAUUUUUACUUCAAUUCCAAUCUCUCUUUCCUAAUUGAUAAAAACUACCAGUAUUUUUUUCAGAGUAGCUUUCAUGAGUUGUUAGGAUGUGCUAGGAAGACUUUUGAACUGACUAACUGGCCCAAAAGACACGCCUGCUGGCUAUUGUUAUUUGGAUUCUCUAAUUUUUUUUUUCCAACUUUGGAACUAUCCUCACGCGACUUGUUACCAGCUUUGGACACAAAGUCAUAUGGGCGUAUAGACUCGUGGCCACCUUAGAUAUUGAAAUCAAGCUUUGAGCAAAGUCAUCACAGUCGGUCAGAACUGCAAGGAAGUUGGUUAUGCUCCGGUAUAAAAUCAAAAAGUGGUAUAAAAAUCGAAAAGGCCAACAGAGGCCGUUUGAUUCACUCCAUCACCCUCCUCUUAGUUUGAGUGUCACGAUUCAAGUCCCCAUAAUUGGGAUCAUUUACCAUCCAAUCAAGUCAAGAGUGAAUUCACGGAGGACUACUUUGUUCUCACACGAGUACCAAGACUCCUAUAUAACCUUCAAUGACAUCUUAUAGUGAUUUGACAAGGGCAUCUCUAUCUCUGAGCGAAGUAGCUAACACCCAUCCUUAAAUCUCUUAAGAGGCAAUGGACUAUAAGGAAAGAAUUACCUUUUAUAAAAAUCCUCUCAAUCGUCCAAUAGCUCAUACAUUGAUAUAUAGAAACAGCCAUCUCAACCGAUCAACGGCUCACACACUGAUCAUAAUUAGAACAUCACAUAAUCACCUCCUUUGAUUACGACUAUAAAUUAUUCCACAAAUGUAGCAGAAGGGCUCUUGUAGCAACUCUCUUUCCUUGCCAAAGUUAAUAGGACAUGUCAUCAGUUACAACUUACAGCCACUGGUAGGAUUGAAAAUAAAAAUGCAUACAGCCGAUAUUCAGGUGGUCCAGUUUCUGAUUAGCACCAAAUACUGAGUAACUUUCACAACUUGUCAGGAUGUGCUAGGAAGACUUUUGGACUGACCAACCGGCCCAAAUGACACGCCUGCGGGCUACUGUGAUUUGGAUUCUCAUUACUUUUUCCUUUUUUUUUUCUUUCUUUUUUUUUUUUUUUUUCUUUUUUUCUCAAACUUCUGAAUUCUCUCCACGUGACUCAAAUUUAUAUGGGUGUAUAGACGUGUUUACACCUUAGAUAAUGAAAUCAAGCUUUGAGAAAAGUCACCAAAGUCAGCCGGACCUGCAUGGAAGUUGGUUAUGCUCUCCGGGUAUAAAAAUCAAAAAGGGGAUCUCCUUGAGCUUCAAUGACUUCUUGUAAUCCCUUACGGGCUAUGGAUAUAAGGAAAGAAUCAUGUCAUAAAGGGAAGAAUACUCUCAGUCAACAAAUAGCUCAUACAUUGCGAUGAGGGAAGAAUGAUCUCAAUCAAUUAACUACUCACACACUGAUCAUAAUUAGAGCAUUACAGAGCCUUUUCAGUAAACGACUUGGGAGCUUUGCAUUAUUUUCUUGGAAUUGAAGUGUUUCUCACUCAGUCCAAAUACGUACUUGACUUGUUAAAACCAAGUAAUACGGAACAAGCCAAAAGUUGCCCUACACUAGCAAUUAUGUGCCUACAGCUAUUUAGUUCUAGUGGACCUAAGUUGAACAAUGAGAAGUCGUAUCAGAACACUGUAAGGGCAUUACAAUAUCUCACAAAUACUCAAGUAGAAAUAUCUUACAUUGUAAUUAAAUUAAGUUUUUACAUUGUCCCACCGAUAUGUAUCGGAGAGGUUGUAAAUGAGUUUUGACAUACUUACAUGGGAGUAUUGAUCGUGGUCUGCACAAUCAAUCAGCUUCUGGAUUUAGUCUCACUAGCUUCUCAGAUGCUAAUUGGGCCAGUUGUGUCGAUGAACGAAGGUCCACCAAUGGCUUCUAUGUUUUUCUUGGUCCUAACAUUGUCUCAUGGAGUUCACGUAAGAAAAAGGUUGUUGCAAGGUCCAACACUGAGUUGGGAUACAAAGCAUUGGCUCAUGCGGCAAUAGAGCUAGGUGACCUGGCUAAAAGAGCUACCAAUCUAGUGUGAUAAGAUUGGGGUAGCUUGCAUUGCUGCAAACCUAGUUGGACAUGCUCGCACCAAACACAUUGGAGCAGAUGUCCAUUCUGUAUGUGACAAAGUGCUGCAGAAAGAGUGUAUGCACCUACAAAAGAUCAGGUAGCAGGUAUACUAACAAAGCCCUUGUCUGUAUCCCGGUUCAUCGUCCUUAAGGUUGAGUUCAAUGUGAAGGCGUCCCCGUUUCGCUUGAGAUGGCGUUCUGGACAGAAUGCUCCAGAACAAAUUAGUUUCAGAGUUAGUUAAGGCUAGCUUUAAAAAUUUCAUACUUAGUUGAGGUUAGUUUUAGAAUUAGAUGAAAAACAGAAUUAGUUAGGGUCUCCGACCAAUUUGUAAUCUUCUCUAUAUAAAGGAAAAGAGAGAAAGAAGAAACAGAGGUCAGUUGUGUUUCUCUCAUGCUGUGAUUAUAUCUCUAUGUUCUGCUCUGUUUUGCACUCUCAACAUCUUAUCUCCUGUGAUGAACAUCCUAACAGGCCCAGAUUCAAGAGCCAUGUUCAUGCAUGCAUUAUAUAAUAUAUUAAAUUGUAAUUGAAAGCUAAAACAACAUGUUGAAGUUUUAUGUGGAACAGUGCUAAACUUCAGAUAAUAGGUGCUUUUAUAUAAAAGAAACUGUUUUCCUCCUUGAAGUUUUGUGUCAAAUUUACUUUUCUUAUGUAAGGAACGAACAGAUAAGUUCAUACCUAAUUCUGAUGCAGCCAUUCUUAAAUAAAGCUCUUGUCCAAUUUCAGCUAUAUCUAUCAAAUCAAAUCACUAAACCAGGCAAAGCAUCCACUUCCUUGUUUAUAUCUGAAUUUGCAUAAGCAGUAUAAGAGCAGACGCUUGAGCCCCACCCAAUGCCCUUGAGGUGAAUCUCGUACCAGAUUACUUUACAACCUGUCACUCAUCUGAUAAUCUAGUGGAGUGGUCCUUUAAUUCCAUGCGCUCAAAAUUUAGAAGGCCUCAUGAUAACUGAGUUAUUAGAAAGUUCAUAUGUAGACGCAUCUUCUUUUCAUUAAAAACAGAAGCAUAUGCACAAACUGGGUUUGGUGUUAAUUGAGGAAACCCAAUAAAUUGAACAUCAUUCCAAUGUCAGAGCAAAAUGUCAUAGCUGAGCGAUUCCUUAGAAUUAGUUGUGGAAAGCCAUUAGGAUCGAGCCAAUAUAUGAAAUCACCUUUAAUAGGAACCACCGUGCUCUUCCAUGAGGAUAGGAACCAAUCCGGACCUGUCACUGUGUUUCUUCCAAAUUUCAUGCCUUGUAGAAGAGUAUUGCAGGGAUAAUCAAAACUCUGCCAAAGAAGUUCUCUGGAUCACUAUCAUCUCCAAUUUUCAUGACAAGAUUUUCAAAUUCCAAAAGCUCAAUAUGUGGACCUUCUUCAUGAAUGGAUUGCACUUGUGAAUGGAUAGAGUUCCCUGGUCCAUGACCUUUAAAAUUCCCGUUGAAUUAGCUGAUUGGGAACUAUACCACUCUCCAUAGACACUUCCCUGUAUUAAAUCCCUAAAGUCUGAAUUUGUGGAAAUACCUGGGCUGAAAAACCCCAGUUUAAGGCUGCCAACAGCUCCAGUGAUUACCUCACUAUCAAUAAGGAGUUGAUUUACUGUUGACUUACAUAGAACAAGACAAUUUUGGAUGGUUGGGCAUGAUCAAUCAAUCAGUUUUCCUGGAUGUAUAUUCUAGCACUAAGUGGCAUAUAUUCCCUUCAAUUAAAUAACAAAAUCAAUCCCAAUUUACAGCUAGAAUCUAUGUAAAUCUCACAUGUCAGCACCACAGAAUAAUCAGGCACAUUAGUUAUUGCUUUUGGUUUCACUGAUUUCUGUGAACUGUUUAUAUUAAUAACCUCUUGUUCUUGAUGCUGAAAUGUUAGAAGGUCAUAUUUUUCUUUUUUCUUUUUUCUUUUUUUGCAUUACUUGAUUCUCACAUAUUAAAAUAGAAAUCUCAUUAAAUCAUUCAAGAGAGAAACCAAAACCCUUUUUAGAAGAAAUGAAAGAUCAGCAAAAGAUCAAAAACAGAGUCAAGGUUUCCCCUACAAUCUGCAAGUAAUUAGUAUUUUUGAAAAGAAUAGCUUCCAUUAUUUGGUCAACUUCUAUUAUUGAACUUAUAUACUAUGAGUAACUAUCAUUAUCCAUACAAAAAGUAGCAGCAAAGACUAAUCACCUGACAGCAUCUUAUAUGAGUCUUUUGUUGGAAGCUAAGCAGUGUGGUUGAGAAAAGUUGCCUAAAGUAGUUGAAGUCAUAGGUCUAAAGACAACAAAACAUCAACAUGAAGCAUCUUCUAUCAAGCUUCCAACAGUGUGAUGGUGGAUUGAGUACCAGAGGAACAAUUUCCUUCCAUCAUAUUCAUAUCGGUGAAGAAAUAAGGCUCUUUGGGCUGAGGUAGUGCACCCUCACUACCCAACAUCAGAACCACAGAAUGCAUGCUUGGUCGAUCCUCUGGGAAACGUUGCACACAUAAUAGACCCAAAUUGAUUGAGCAUAGCACUUCAGAUAGAUUGCAGGUGUUCCCCAUUGAUGCAUCAAUAAAUUCUGAAGACCUAUCUUCCAUAAAGAAUGUCCAUGCCUAGACAGUUUAAAAGAGGAUCAACACUACUUUUAUAUAUUGAAAUAAGGAAAUAUUACCUAAUACUUACAUGCCCAAGAAGACUAAGGUCAUGAUACGGGUGGUUAAAUCCUUUGUUUCUCUUCCCACUUACAAUCUCUAAAACCAAAACACCAAAGCUAAAAACAUCGGAUUUUGUGGAAUACAAUCCUUCCCUUGCAUACUCUGGAGACAUAUAACCUCUACAGGUAACAAUAAAAGAAGGGGUUAAAUUCACAAGCAAUGGAGAUAAAGACUUUAUACAUAUCACUAAAUAUACUUACAAUGUUCUAGCCACUCUUGUUGUGUUUGUUUCAAUUUCAUUUCCUCCAAAACUUCCUGUUAUUCCGAAGUCUGAAAUUUUGGGUAUCAUUUCAUUAUCUAGUAAAAUGUUUUCUGCUUUGAGAUCUCUAUGGAUUAUCCGAAGUCUGGAAUCCCGGUGAAGAUAAAGAAGGCCUUGAGCAAUCCCAUUGAUAAUGAGGAAGCGCUUAGGCCAAUCUAGCACCCUUCUUCGCAUUUGAUCUGUCCAUUUUUUUUUAUCAUUCAAGUUAACCAAUUCUAUUAAAUGGAUUAUUUGAAUAUAAAUGAAAAAUAUUUCAAGAAACAAAUCAUUUCAAAUUCCAUGAGAGUUGUUUAGAGCAAUGACAUAUGAAAACAAAAGUAACUAUAAUUGAAGCUCAUUCUUAGUGAUUAAAGAACAUUGUCAAGGAGACACAAAUAGAUAGUGGAUCUUAAUGGUAGGGUUCAAAACCCCUAACUUUUUAUAUAAGAGCCAAAAUGUUAGAGAAAAUAGGAGUAAGAAAGAUUUUCUAGAUAAAUGCAUCUAUGCUUUAUCUUGUCCCCAACAAUUUUUCUUUGGGAUUUGUUAAAUCCAAUGUAAAUAAAGAUUUUUCCAAGCAUGCAUAGGAGAGGAAAAAGAAAAGAGAAGUCAAUCGACUAGGCAAACAAACUAUAUAGCGGUUUUAGAGAGUCAAACCAAAAAUAAAAAGGUCCAAGCUUUUGUUAGGCAUGUGUUCAUAGAUCAACAAUCUUUCUCUGCCAUGAAUGCAACAUCCAAGAAGCUUUACAAGAUUUCGGUGUUGAAGUUUUGCAAUGGAUUCAACUUCAUUUUUGAACUCUUUUAAUCCUUGUCUAGAAGUUUUUGACAUCAUCUUCACUGCUAUUUCUUGUCCCUCUUGCAAUAUUCCCUGAAAACAUCACAUUCUUUUUAUUAUGCAAGCUUUGUAGAUUAAAAUAAACUUAUCGAUAUUCAAUACAAGGAGUCCUAAAGAAACUAGAGAUACAAAAAUGUUGGCACAUACACUGGCUUCAAGACUUUAAAGCAUAUAGUGGCCUUGGUACAUGUUGCUUCAUUUAGAUACUAUGAGGAUUGGGACGUCAACUACUUCUCAAGAUGUUUAAUUGUGUAUCUAUAAUGUUUUAUUAACUUGUAACUUGUCUUCUUGCCCAAAGGGCAAAGUAUGACCAUACCUUAUAGACAGGUCCAAAACCACCCUCUCCAAGCUUAUUGUCACUAGAAAAGUUAUUAGUGGCAUUUAAUAAUGUAUCCAAGUCAAAUAAUGGUAACUCUAGAUGCUCUUGGCCUUCAUUGUUUUCACCUCCUUUUGAAUUGUGUUCCAUGUAUGCUGCAAAAUGGAGAAUAGAAUGAAGGAUUAAAGAAUUCACAAAUAUGGAAUUUAGCCUAUUUCCAAGCCUAAAUCAUUUCAUUAUUUCUAAAAUCAAGUCAAGUCAAUUCAUUCCUCUUUUUUUUUUAUUAUUAUUAUUAUUACGUAAUCAGACAAUGUGUAAAAGUACUUUUGACUAAUACAUAUGGUGGUAAAAGCACUAAGAUUUGUUACUUACCUUUUCUCUUUGGUUGUUUCUUCCUUUUCUUGAGCACAUACAAGGUCAGGACUAGACUUAAAAGAACUAUUCCUGUAAUUGAUAUAGAGAUGAUAAUGACCUGUUUUUUCUUCUUCUUGGAGCUGCUAUUUAUGCUUGAAGAAGCUUCUUGACACAAAAGGAAAGAAAUUAAGAAGGAAAGCCAGGAAAUGUAACAGAAAAACCAUAAAUUCCUAUGAGCGGUAACCAUUGAUCCAAAAUAUAUUUCUAGUUUACAACCAUGAAAGCAGGAGUUCAAGGAACUACGAUUGCCAUAGGAUUUGAGGGCAUAAAUCAGUUGGUGUAUUGGUGUGUUAUAGCAUUCUUACUAGAAUUGAAAUCUAAAAGAAAAAUAUUCCCAAGUUUUGAGUAGACCUCUGCUUUACACUCUAGUCUUUAGAUAAUACGUAUACUAUUCCAUGAAAUAAUGUGCAUGGUAGUUGGCCUCAGAUUUUUCACAUCAGCAAUAAUUGAGACAGAGGUAAAGCUGGAAGUCACAAAAUCAAACGAUAAAACUAGAGGCACGUAUGCAAGGUGAACAACUGAUUCAAAACCUUUGAAUAAAUAUACCAUGAAAUUUGUAUCAGAUUUAUGUUUCUCAGGUAAGAAAAAGAAAAGUUCAUACCUAAGUCUGCCGCAGCCAUCCUUACAUAAAACUCUUGCCCAUUUUCAGUGAAGUCUCUGAUGUCAAUCAAGUCACCAAACCAGAGCAAGCAUCCACUUCCUCCUCCUCUGAUAUCUGAAUUUGCAUAAGCAGUGCAAGAGCAGUUGCUCAAGCACAGGGAAGCACAUUCCUUAAGGUUCAUGCUUUCAUUAAACCAGGAGCUCCGUGUGUCUGGCAGUUUCACACCAGAGUACUUUACAAAUCCAUCACCCUUCUGGCAAUCCAGUGGAGUACUUCGAACGCAUCCAUUUGACCAGUCUUCCAUGUCCCAAUUGCUUUGGAAC